UUUGGUGGUGAUGGUGGUGGAGGUGGUGGGGACUUGUACUUGUAAGGGUGCUUGGGUGGUGAUGGUGGUGGAGGUGGUGGAGACUUGUACUUGUAAGGGUGCUUGGGUGGUGAUGGUGGUGGAGGUGGUGGAGACUUAUACUUGUAAACUGGAGAUGGUGGGGGUGGAGACUUGUACUUGUAAGGGUGCUUGGGUGGUGAUGGUGGUGGUGGUGGGGACUUGUACUUGUAAGGAUGCUUGGGUGGUGAUGGUGGUGGAGGUGGAGGAGACUUGUACUUGUAAGGAUGCUUGGGUGGUGAUGGUGGAGGAGGUGGUGGAGACUUAUAGUUGUAAACAGGAGUUGGUGGGGGAGGAGAUUUGUACUUGUAAGGCUUCUUGUGUGGUGGUGGUGGUGGAGAGUAGACCGGAGGAGGCGGUGGUGGAGACUUGUAAUGGUAAGGUGGUGGUGGGUACUUCUUAGGUGGUGGUGGAGGAGAAGAAUAAGUGUAAUCUGCUGAGGUUUCAAAAGGCAAAUUGAGAGACACUGCUAAAACUAAAAGAGUGAGAAAGAGAGAGGUCAUUGAUGACCCCAUUUUCCCCAUCCUUACUUCUAAAAAUGGGUUUAAUUUGGUUAUGCUCUUAGCAGCCCUCUUCACUCCCUUUAUAUAGACUUUGUUUUAAAGUUACAAUCAUGAUAAAAGUGUGAAGGUGGACCGAACCUUCAGCAGCAUUGAAAAAAGACGUUACGUUUAGGUUAUUAGCAUGGUAUGACAUAAUAAUUCUCUAUUCUCUUCCUUGUCGUUUCCCAUAAAUUUAAUUUAAAUAGUCCAUUUGCUAUAUUUAUAUUUCUGUUUCUCUAUUAAAUAUUUAUCAAAUUCAUUUCUCACUCCUUAUAGAAUAUGAAUAAUUAAUCAUUAAACUCGAUUUAGUAAAUACUUUAAAAAAUGAUUUAUCUUAUUUUUAUGCUUUAAUUAAGGCAUCAAAUCAUUAAUCCCAUUUGAUAUUAUGAAAAUUUAUCACUUAAUUGAUCAAAAUGUGAUUCUUGGCAGGAAAACAUAAUUUACUUUCCUUAAAAUGUAAUUUUUAUUGAGAGUUAUUUUUCCACUAACAAUAGAAAGUGAUUCUCUUUAUAAUUCGUGAAAAAAUUACUUUCACAUGUAAAUAAAAAUUGUUAGGAUAAAAUUAACUUUUCUUUUAUUUAUGUUAAGGUUACUAAUUAACUUAUUCAACUUUAAUAAAAGAUAAACAUAGUUGUAGCUUGUUUGUUGAUGUUAGUUUUUUGUCUUUACAACUUCAAACCAUUAUUCUAGUGUAAUUUUUUUUUCUUUCUAAAUAGUAGAUAAGUAUCUAUAUUUUAUUUUGCUAUAAGAAAAUUAUAUUUUUUAGCAUACAAAACUUAAGAUAACUUGUAGAAUCAAGUAGUUGUAUACCUAUUACUCUAGCAAUAAUAAUAUUGACAUUGUCUACUUUCAAAUUAAAAUUUCAAAUUAGUUCAUUGCCCAAUUUUCUCAUUAAAAAAAAUUAUAUAUAACAUGUCAACUUAACGAAACUUACAUGAAAUUUUGUAUGUGUUAAAAAUGAAAAAUAUGGCGGUUAUUAAAAAAGAUGUCAUACAUCUAAAUCAAACUACUAAUUUAAAAAUUAGUAUUGAGAUAAUUUCAAGCCAUAUAUGCAAUAUUUGAGUAUACUUGAACUUAUACAUACAAAUUAGUGAGGAUUAAAAUUUUGUAAAUUGUACAUCUUCACAAUCUUGCGUUAAUAUACAAUUUUUUUAAUGUAUUAAUAUAAUGUUUUAGAUCAAGACGUGAAAAAACAUAAUUCAAAUAUUUGUUAAUAGUAAAAAAUUAUUAAUAAAUAUUUAAUUCAAAAUUUAUUAAUAAUAAAAAUUAUUGAAAAAUAUUAAAUACGUUAAUAUUAUUUUUAUUUAAUAAUGAUACUUUUGUACAGUAAUCUUAUAUUCCCAAAUAAGUGUUAAAUGUGUCAAGAUUUUAAUCAAUACUUUCCGGUGAUUACCAAACGUUGUGAAGUAACUUCUUAAACAAUAAUAUUCUUAUCAAUCACAUUCCAUUAAAAUUUUAACAUAGAAAAGCACCAAAACGCCCCCUUAAAAUCGUGGUAAGUCUUGUUUGUCUAAAAUUUAAAUAUUUAUUUUAUUAUUUAAAAUAUAUUAAUUUUCUAAAAAAAAUCAUUAAUAUUUAUAUUUCUAAUUUUAAACAUUCUUUUGUUAAUUAAAUGAUAGUCUAAACGGUUAAACUCAAAUCGAAAGCAUUUUAUCUUAUAUUAGAUUAUAUGAAUCAUAUUAUGGUUGAAAGUAAAAUGUAUAAAAUCAAUACAAACAUCAAAUAUUAAACUUCCACUCAAUAGAUUUUAAAAUUUCUAAUUUUAUCACUAAUCUAUUUUAAGAUUUUUUUAAAAAAAAUCGUACUUUAGAUUAUCUAAUUUAAAAUUUUAUAAAAUUAUUAAAAAAUAUUCUUGUAAUAAAAAAAAUUUGUUUUAAAAUUUUUAAUUUUUUAUAUAACCAAUGAAUUUUUUACGUUUGUUUUAACUGGUUAUCUAAACAAAAUAAAAACUUAUUUAGUUUAAAUAAAGUGGUAAAUGUGAAAGCACCACAAAUCACAACUACAUUAGUUUUAUAAUUGGAUUAAUUUAAUCACCGGCAGAGGAAAUGUGUUAGUUCUAGCUACCAACAAUUCAUUUUAAUUCCUUUAAAAAUAUUAGAAAAAACCAAUUUGAUUUUUAAUAAUAGAUCUAAUUACUUAAAGGAACAUGGGUGAUGUGCACAUGGCAUACAAGCAUAAAAAAGAACAAAAAGAUUAAGUAUCUUUGCAAAAUAUCUCUCUCUGAAAUAAAUAAAACUUAAAAAAAAACAAUUUUAUUAUCAAAAUAAAAAGAAAAUAGUGUUUUUCUUCACAAAAAAAGAAAAGAAAAGAAAUACUAGUGUUUUUAAUUAAAAUAGAGUGAUCUGGGUAGAAUCUUUUACUUAAAUACUGACAUUGACUUUAUAAGCUAUUUUUUAUCAAAAGAAGAAAGAGAAAAGCAUCCGAUUGAAGAUGUGAAUUAUUAAGUUAAAAUUAAUCAUACAUGUAAAAUAUUAUUGUGCUUUUUUCUAGCCCUCCGAAAGACAUUAUGCUUUGAUUACAACAUUCUUCCUCAGAGAUGAGGUUUGAAGAUGAACUCGGAUGCAUUUAGAUUUUUACAAGACGAAAGUAAAUUAAAGGAUGUUAGUACUUGUAUUCCGAUACGCUUAUAAUACAGAAAGCAAGUAAUAUGUGACUGUACAUAAUGGCUAUGAGGCGAGGAUAUGAUACGAGAAGAUAGAGAUGAGAGAUUGCACUUAAGGGGUUAGCACCUCUUUUCUUUUUGUGUUUGGUCCCCAAAGCAUAUCUCUUAUUGGCUGAUGUUGCAAGGCGGUCCCAUAAGUUGGGCUAAAAGUGCUUGAUAGCUAGAAUUAAUAUUGUGGUAUAACAUAUGUCACCCCUAUAUUUGAAUAAGGUUACAAAGUGACUACUUGAAGAUUUAAAAAAGCAUGGAGAUAAUUUUGUUGCGAAAAUUAAAAGUAAGAGCUAAAUUGUUUGGCUUUAUUAGAGUAUAGACUCUGUUAGUCUAUUAUCAUUUUGUUAUAUAGGCUGGAAUAUUAUUAGUAAGCAGUUAGCAGCAGUUAGUCAUACAAGUAUAAAUUCUAUUCAUGUAUUGUUCAAAGAUAAGCUAAUAAUACCAGAAGAGAUUUAACAUGUUCAUUCUACUUUUUUUUGUUAUUCUUCAUAAUACAGUUGUUAACAUGGUCUCAGUCGCCAAAUUUCUUGGAGGUUGCUUCUAUUGUAGAUCCAUGGCCAAUUCCACUGAUUCUACCUUCGCUGGUCGUAGCAGUCCCUCAUUCUCAGUUCAUGUUUGGUUCAAUCGUUUCCUCGUCAUGGCACUGUGAAGUUAGAUGAAGGAAAUUUUGUACAAUGGCAACAGCAUAUCCAAUUGAUAAUUGAAGGAUAUGAACUCAUAAGAUUUUUAGAAGGGACGUUACCUGCUCCGCCUCGCUUUGUGUCAUCUCCGGAUGGAAACUUAGCUCUGACUCCCGAUGCAUCCCUGUUUGUUCAGCAAGAUAAGUUACUCGCUUAUUGGUUACUUUUUACGAUUAGUGCUCCUUUGUUUUCUUGUUUUACAACUGCUAAGACGGCGUGUGAGGUUUGGAGCACUGCGAAUUGCCUAUUUGCUGCUGCCACUAGAGCCAAGCUUUCGCGUAUUAAGCAUGAACUCCAGUCCAUCACGAAAGGCGUGAUGACUAUCAAAGAGUAUAUUGCUAAGAUUCAAAAUACUUGUGCGUUACUCGAGGAAUCUAGAUCAGUGGUUUUAAAGGCUGAAAAGGUAGAGAUCAUUCUUGCCGGCCUAUUGUCUGAUUAUGAUGUCGUUUUAACUCUGGCAUCGUUCUCAACUGAAACUUUUUCGUUAUAAAAGAUUGUUGAUAUGCUUCUGGAGUUCGAAAGCCAUCAGACUCAAGCGGUGAACGACGUACCUUUUCAUGCUCAUUUGGUAGAGGCCACUUCGGCGACAUCCGUGGAGGACUCCGUACGUGGUGGUCGUCCUCCUUCUGGUGCUCGUAGGCGCGACUUUCGAUCUCAGCUUCAGUGCCAGGACUAUGGUUGCUAUGGACAUUUGGUACAAUGCUGUUAUUAUCAGUUCAACCGCGACUACAGUGAUCUGUCUGUUUUGACCAUGGCGCGGGUUUCGCCUGUUCAUGCUGAUCACAAUUAGCAUAACGAUGUUUUUGGCGCAAGUGGUCUCUCGACUAGCUGGUUUUCAUCAACUUGUCCUGGUCCGGACCCGUUCGUGCCUGGACAGUAUGUCGAUUCUUUGGUGGUGACACCGGCGUAUUUCUCUUAUGGCUCAUCAUGGUGAGGGUGGCCACAUUUGCAAAACAAUGCCUCCCUUGUGCCAAGUUUGUUGAAUGUUAAGGUUUCUAACCCUUUUGCUCAUAAUUUUGACGAUGGGGCAGGCUAGGUGUUUGGGCUCGCUGUUGGACCAAGCUCAAAUUGUGGCCAAUUUGGUGGUCCUCACUUACCGCGGAGAAUGGGCCAGCACGUUAGGCCAUUUGCUAGUGUUCCUAGGCCGACUGGUUCAGGCCAAGAUUUUGGGCCAUAUGGAAUUCGUAGGCUAACCAGUGCUGGUCCUAACAUUGGACAGGGUUCACUUGGGCCAAAUGUUAAUUUUGUUAGACUUGAGGGCUCUUUUGGGCAUGGACAAGGACUUUGGCCCACCACUGGCAAUGUUUCAGUGCCAAAUAAUGGGUCAUGCGUUCCAUGGCGCACUAAACUGACGGCGCACAUUAUUGAUUGAUUUCUCACUGUGUGUUGGGUUGCCUCACAUUCUUGAUUUUCAUGUGUCUGAUAUUUUUACUACCUCUGGGUCCAAUGCUAACACGACUCCGUAUGGGUCUAAUUUUGAUAAUGAUAACUCUUACAUUCCUAUGCCUGUAGGGACCUUGUCCUGGUGUCUUAAUUCAGGGUCUAUACAUCAUGUCUAUCGAGAAGCCUCUACCUUGAACGAGUCUACGCCAUACUCAGGUACAUCUCCUCUCCUCAUGGAUGAUAUUACUCCUACAAAAAUAUCAUGUGUUGGAAACUCUAUCUUGCCUACGAAGACUAAGCUGUUUCAUCUAUCUAAUGUUUUGUGUGUGCCAAAUAUACGGAAGAAUCUGCUAUCUGUCUCUCAAUUUGCUAAUGACAAUAAUAUGGUCUUUGAAUUUCACCCGUCUUAUUGAGGACAUCCAGACUCAGGAAAUUUUGCUUCGGGGCCACACUCGUGAUGGGCUCUAUUAUUUUUCGUAGGUUACUCAUGUUCCGUCUGUCGUUGUUCCUUCUGUUCACAACACUGGGCUCCAGAGUCGCAAUGCCGGUGAUGAUGUUUUUACGUUAUGGCACUACAGACUUGGUCAUCCGUCUGCCUCGAUUGUUAAACUUGUUCUCGAUAAGUGUCAAGUUGUUUCAACUAAAAUGUACCUUGAAAAUAUUUGUAUUGCUUGUCAAAAGGGGAAGUCCCAUAAACUGUCUUUUUCAAGUUCUACUACUAAAUAUACGGAUUUGUUUGAAUUGGUUGUCUUUGACUUAUGUGGACUGGCAUCUGUUGUCUGUAGAAAUAAUCUGUAUCAUGUUUCGUUUAUCGACAUGUGUAGUUAUUUUACUUGGAUUUAUCUCAUUAAACGUAAUUCUAAGGAGGUUGAAUGUUUUCUUCAGUUUCAGAAAAUGGUCAAAACUCAGUUUGGGAAAGAUAUUAAAAAAAUUCAAAGUGAUUGGGGUGGUGAGUUUCUUGCCUUUACGUCAGUUCUGGCUAGUCAUGGGAUACUUCAUCACCUCUCCUGUCCAUAUACAUCCGAGUAGAACGAUGUAGCUGAACGAAAACAUCGACACAUUGUUGAGAUGAGUCUUAUUCUAUUGGCCAAAGCUAACCUAUCCAUGGAUUUCUGUGGUUUCGUAUUUUACAAUGCCAUUCAUCUCAUUAGUCUUCUACCGACCCUAGUUCUGAAAGGUCAGUCUCCAUAUCAGGUUCUUCAUGGUAGUGACCCUACAUAUGAUCAUUUACAAGUAUUUAAGUGUUGUUGAUUUUCGUACCUGCGUCUGUUUCUGCAACACAAGUUGGAUUUUCAUUCUCAGCCAUGCAUAUUUUUUAGGUAUAGUUCUCAACAUAAAGGCUAUCACUGCCUCACACCAAAUGGUAAGGUCAUUGUCUCUCGUCAUGUUGUGUUUGAUGAACGUUGGUUUUUCUUUUCUUCAAAUGCUGUGAACACCGUUCAGUUAAGUCCAUGUAUCUCUACAUAUGUUCCUAUUGUUCGGUCUUCAUCUUGCCGCCCCACGACAUCUUCGCUUGUUCGACCCACUGAGUCAUCGACUCUUGCUCCUAAUUGUAGUUCCACGCUGUCUGUUUCAGUUGACACUCCGGCUGAAUUAGGUUUUACUCAUGAGGUGCAUCGGCUCUCUACCUCAUCCCUUGAAUCUCGUCAAUGCGAUCCAACUACAAUUCCAUUGGCUGUUCCAUCUAUUUCUCUGGAAUACUCAUAACACUAUUACUCAGCUAGACCCAAAGCUCUGUCUGUUGAAAUUGUCAACUGUGAGUCGAUCACGAUUGAAGAGGCGCUCGCUAGUAAGGAAUGGCAAUUAGUUGUCCAAGCUGAGUUUGUUGCUAUAAUGGUUAACUCCACUUGGGAGCUUGUUCCCUUACCUCAUGGUCGAAAAGUGAUUAGGUGUAAGUGGCUUUUUAAAAUAAAAAAAUCCUGAUGGGACUAUCACUUGACGUAAGGCUCGGUUGGAAGCAAAGGGUUGUUCUCAGGUACUCAGGUGUGAUUUCAAGGAAACCUUUAGUUUGGUAGUUAAACCUGCUACUAUUAGAACCAUAUUAUCUGUUGCUAUCUCCAACGGUUGGCAAUUUGGUCAGGUAGAUGUGAACAAUGCUUUUUUAAAUGGUGAUCUUAUUGACGAAGUGUUCAUGCAGCAACCUCUAGGCUAUGUUCAGAUUGGUCAAAAUGGUGAGCCCUUGGUGUAUCAUUUGACAAAGGUGUUGUACAGAUUAAGACAAGCUCCACGUGCUUGGUUUGAUAAAUUGAAACGUUUUUUUGUUUCUAUUGGAUUUGCUUUAUCCAAAUCUGAUGUAUCCUUAUUUGUUCAAGUUAAUUCGAAUCCACUAUUUAUGUUUUAGUCUAUAUGGAUGAUAUUAUCGUUACUAGAAGUACGAUCGACGGUAUAAAUGGCUGUAUUCAAUAGUUACAUAAUGUGUUUCCCUUAAAGAUAUGGGAGAUCUUUACUACUUCUUAGGCAUUGAAGUCACUCGGUAGUCCACUGGGAGUCUCCAUUUGUGCCAACGCAAAUACAUUCGGGAUCUUCUUGACAGUAGUUUUUUAGCUAAUGCAAAGAGUGUUCACACACCGAUGGUUAGUUCUUUUACGUUGUUUAAAGAUGUGGGAGAUCGCCUCGUUGAUCCUACUGGAUAUAGAAGUCUUGUCGGUGUAUUACAAUAUGUGGUCUUGACUCUGCCUGAUAUUGCUUAUGCUAUAAAUCAUGUUUGUCAAUUCAUGCAUGCCCCUACUACAGUACAUUUGGUGGCUUUGAAAAGAAUCUUGCACUAUUUAUGUGACACUAUUAAUCAUGGGUUAAUUUUGUCUGUUCAACAUAUUGUCUUUAGUUGGCUAUGCUAAUGCCAACUGGGGACUGGAUUUUGAUGAUCGUAAAUCAACAACAAGCUAUUGUUUGUAUUUUGGGUAUACACCCAUCUCUUGGUGAUCUAAGAGACAACUCUACUGCGUGAGGCGAAGUAUUUUGGCCGCACCAUGGCUGAGGUGAAGUAUCGAAGUCUAGCAACAACUACCAGUGAUGUUACUUGGUUAGUCUCUCUACUAACAAAAUUACAGAUUCAUUCUAUAGAUCCACAUACUAUUUGGCGUGACAACUCUAAUGCAGUAGCGGUCAUUGCUAAUCCGGUCUGACACUCUAAAUUUAAACAUGCCAAGCUUGAUCUAUUUUUUGUUCGCGAAAAGGUCGCUAAUGGUUCUCUCGUUGUCGGUGAGAUUCUAGCAUGUGAUUAAGUUGCUGACAUUCUCACAAAACCACUGUUCGUCUCUACUUUUGCUAGGUUUCGUAGUCUGCUUCAAUUCUUACCUCUUGAGAAGCUGGGUGAAGCCAGGUGAAUAUUAGAGUAUAGACUCUGUUAGUCUGUUACCAUUUUGUUAUUCAGGCUGGAAUAUUGUUAGUAAGCAGUUAGUCAUAGCAGUUAGUCAUACAAUUAUAAAUUCUAUUCAUGUAUUGUUCAAAGGUAAGCUAAUAAUACCAAAAGAGAUUUAAUGUGCUCAUUCUACUUUCUUUGUUAUUCUUCAUAAUACAGUUGUUAACAUGCUUGAUAUCAUCUCUUAGAGAGAACGAGGAGAGAUAAGAGUAAGAGUAUGAGCCAACUAGGGAUAAGGCUCUACCAUAAUACCUUGGAUGCAAUUAAAGUAAGAGUAAGAGCCAACUUGUUUGGCUUGAUAGCAUCCCCUUAUAGAAAAGGCUCUACCGCAUGGCAUGAGAGCAAUAAAAGUAACACUCAAUUUCUUGGGUUGAUAGCAUCUCCUUAGGGAAAAGGGUUUACCAUGUGACAUGAAAGCAAUUAAAGUAAGAGUAAGAUCCAACUUGUUUGUCUUAAUAGCAUCAUUUAAGAGAAAUAUCCCAAUCAAUUUAUUCAAAUAUGUUAAUCAAAUAAUGCAAGUUACAAUGUUCUGUCAGUUUUUCCUUUAAUUGUAACUGGGUUAAAGUUGGUAGUUGUAACUGCUACUAAUAGAAUGGAUACGGUAGAAAUGGUUGCAAGCAACAUAAGCAAAGAUGACUUUAAUGUCUUUGUAUUGACCACGUGAGAACUAUAGAAUGCAGAGAAUAGUAUGGUGAUUGGCAACAGAAUGCUACUAACCUUGAGGAUAGUAGACAGGGAUGGAUCCACGGGGGUUGGGGGCGGUCCCCCCUUGGAAUUUUUAAAAUUUUAAAUUUUAUAUAUAAAUUAUCAUGUAUUUUAAAUUUGGUGUCCACAUUGUAUAGCAUUCACCCCCCUUUUCCAAAUUGCAUUUCAUAUCAUUUGCCCUCUUAAGCCAUAAGGUUAUACUUUAUAUUAACAAAGUAUUUUCCAUUUUUUAAUUAUAUAAAUUUAAUAAUAAUAAUAAUAAUCAAAUAUUAAUAUAUGAUUGGCAUUGAAAGACUAAACAUAAAGGUCCAGUUGAGACUUUAAAGCCAAAUUCCAUAAUUAAUUAAUUGAUUUGGCCCAUACCAGUACAUAUUAGGUUAGCGAAAUUCUUGUAUUUUGAUUUGUAUGUCUUGCUAAGGAAUUAUCUUCCUUUGGUAAGGUGUUGACACUGCCAAGAGAAAAAGAAAGGAUUUUGAUGUCGAGAUUGUGAGCAUAGAGUAAAAAAAAUACAAAUUAUCUUCCUCUUAGCUCCUUAUGGAAAAAACCUCUCGGUAAAUAUUUUUGCAUAAAUUAUGUUUUUUAUUAAUUUGACUUAGUUUUUUUCUUUUUUCCUAAUACAUUGUUGUUUAAUAUAUUCUUACAAUCAUCAGGUUUUUUGACUAAAUUAUGGUCAAUAAAAACAUCGAAUCUAUUUAAAAAAAAAGAGUGUCAGAAAGCAAUAAUGAUCAACCGGUUCCUCAACCUUCCAUUAUUAGUGAAGAAAAAUCAAAUAUCGGAUCUUCCAAAGCUCUUGAACAAAAUAUCAGGUCUUCUUAAGCCCAAGCUCCUAAAUGCGGUAUGGAGUCUUCCCCAACUCCUGAACGAGAUUGUAACAAUCCAUACCCAAUUCGAUCACCAAAUCCAAGUAGAGAGCGCCGCAACUUAAACCAUAUGAAUUGAAUAAUAAAUAUUUGAAAUUUAUUAAAGUAUCGAGUUCUUGGUGUAACCCUCAGUAUAACAAUACGAAACAAUUAAAUCAAUGAUACGCCAGGAAAAAAUGUUUUUAGGCAAAACACAUGGCGGAAGCCUUACAAAAUUUUAUAAGUUUAUAUAAAAUGUAAGAUGAGUUAAUCCCAUACAACAGUUUCAAGUGCAUCGUUGGCGGUUAAAAGAACAUUCAAAAACUAUUCGGCGUAUAUGCCAAUGAGACAAUCACGUGGAACAAGAUAUAGUAGCUUAAACACAUACAUCACUUACCACGUCAUCAUAACAUAUACUAACCAUAUAAACAAACUUAUCGAGCUGCGAACUAACAAGUUCACCCAAACAUCUAGGGUUAGCGAUAACUUAUUAGAAGAGCCCGCCAAACCCUAGAGUUCGCCAAAACCUGGAGUUCACCAAAUGGCGACUCCCAUAGAAUACGCCAAACACACAACCAAAAAUAAAUACUCUACUAAUUUACUCAUUUUAUAUUCUUAGCAUAAACAACUAUGCACCAAACAGUAACUUGAUACAUUAUCUUUCGGGCGAGUUGUUACAAUUCUCCCCCAUUUAGAAACUUUUGUCCUUGAAAUUCUUACCGGUGAAUAACUGAGGAUAUUGUUCUUUCAUCGAACUCUCUCUUUCCCAAAUGGCUUCUUUUGUAUUGUGAUUUAUCUAUAAUACAUUAACCAAAGGAAUUCUUUUACUUCUCAACUCUUUUACUUCCCUUGCUAAAAUACAAACAGGUUCUUCUUCAUAGGACAAGUUUUGCUCCACUUCCAGUGCUUUGACUUGUACCACAUAAUCUGGAUUGGAUUGAUAUUUUCUUAACAUAGAUAUAUUAAACACAUUAUGUAUAUUUGAUAACUCUGGUGGCAACACCAGUUUGUAUGCCACUGGACCAACUUAUUCCAAAAUCUCAUAUGGUUCUAUGAAAUGCAGACUUAAUUUCCCUUUUUGUUCAAACCUUAUGAUCUUCUUCCAAAGAGAAAACUUCAUAAAUGCAUUGUCACCCACUUCGAAAGAGAUUAUUUUCCUUUUUAGAUCAGCAUAAGCUUUCUGGCGAUCUUAAGUUACUUUCAGAUGAUUUCUAAUGAUAAAGACUUUCUCUUCUGUUUCUCAUACUAAAUCAAGACCAACUAUUUUCCUUUUACUGAGUCUCAUCCAAUAGGUAGGAGAUCUGCACCUUCGUCUAUACAAAGCUCCAAAUGGUAACAUUCCCAGACUGUCAUAAUAACUAUUAUUAUACGCAAACUCUAGCAAAGGAAGAUAUCUUUCUCAAUUCAUUCUAAAAUCUAUAAUACAACCUCUAAACAUGUCUUCUAGAACUUGAAAUACUCUUUCAAAUUGCUCAUCGAAUUAGGGAUGAAAGGUAGUACAGAAUCAUUAUUUCGUUCCCAACGAUUCUUGCAGUUGUCUCCAAAAUCUCAAUGUAAACAUUGGGUCUCGAUCUGAAACUAUGGAUGUUGGAAUCCCAUGAGGCGUACAACUUCAGAAACGUAGAGAUUAGCCAACUUUUCCAAUAAGUAAUUUGUGCGGACAAACAAGAUAUGGGCUAACUUAGUAAGUCGAUCUACAAUUACCUAGACUGAGUACUUCUUCGAAAGGAUGAGAGGGAGAGCCAAAACAAAAUCCAUGGUGAUCUUAUCCCACUUCCACAUAGAUAUCUCUAAAAGGUACAACUUGCCUAAGGGAACCUGAUGUUCUAUUUUAAUCUGCUGACAUGUCAAACAAAUGGAAAUGUACUUUGUUAUUUCUUUCUUCAUUUCAAGUCAGUAAUACAAACUUAUCAAAUUAUGAUACAUUUUAUGUAAAACUCUCAACCCAACUCGAAAUGUCGAGUCUGGAUCUCGGGUAUUACUAUACAUAAUACUUGGCAAAAUAUCAAAAUAGUUGACAAAUACUCUUUAUAGAAAACAUUUUCUUAUUAUUUUAACCAAAAGACUAAAUAUUUAAUAACAAGAGAAAAUAUUAAAAACAAAAAAAAAUUAUUACAUCAGACUUGGUACAACUCAUUAUAGUAUAAAAUUUUGUUAAAGACAUACUCUUGGGGCAUAACCCUAAUCUAAGCCACUUUUCCACUAUAUGCAUAAUAACCCACUUCGCCACUAUCUUGGCGUACUCCUAGCAUCGUCACUCCUAAUGCAUUCUCUACCCAUACACCUGAAAACAACAACAUUUUAAGCUUAAGAUAACUUAGUGACUUUUAUCCCAAAAAUACCUUGGCGAGUACUUUAUAUUAUUUGAAGAACAUUUGUGCGCCAUCUAUCCUUCUGAACCACCUUCUUCUGAAUUAAGUGGAUACUAUUAUAGAUUCAACUUUCACUUACACGCCAACUAUCAUACUCUUAACAAACUCACUUAUUCUAGAAUAGUUGUUCACAUAUAUUAAUCACUAAUUGAUACAUUCAUAUUUGGCGAAUACUUACGCAGAUCUGAAUACCAUCAAACUACUAAUCAAAUCAUACCUUGAUCCGAUACCAUACAAACUCAUACUGAUAAUGUACUACACAAAUUAUUCAAAUGAAUUUUCCACUACUUUGUUACAGGACCCCAGAUAAUCAUCAUAACAAUAACUCAAUUUUCAUAUGAUUUCAGAAGAAGAUAUAAUACAACCCAAAUACGGCAAAUUCCAGAUAACUCAGAUUCAACAACUGCUUAACACAUACGAACUCACAUUUAUAAUUUCUUAUGUCCCACAUAACUACGACUAUGUCUAUAUUCAACACUAACAAAUAAUCAUGACGGAUACCCUUCUUAUACAUAUAUGCAUUUCUUUUCUAGAAAUCUCUUAAGACUUACUCAAUUAUAUCACAUAUCUUAUUCAACCCUUAACUUUAGACAUAUCAUAACCCUAUCAUAUCAAUAUCUAUCACAAAAAAAAUCAGGAUUUAUCCAAAACUUACCAUAAAGGUAGAUAAUCAUAUUAUAUCAGACAAACUUAACUAAAUGUGCCACAAAGGCCAAACAAAAUAUGCCUUAAAGGCUUCAUACAAAAUCACGUGUUUACUAUCCCGACGGACUAUCACAAAAGGUGUCAUGGGUUUCUCCCACAUGGACUUAUACAUAAUUUCAUGUAUUGUGAUCUGCCAUUUUGAAUCAUACGUUAUCGAAGGAUACUCCAUAAGCAUACAUACAGACAUAUCUUGCCAUGUGUCUCAGCCACAUGGCUUAAACACACAUUCAUGUACUGUGAUAUGUCAAUCCAGUCUUACUCUUAUUAGAGCCUACACCAUGAGUGUUUUCAAAUCAUAUUAAGAUGUUGUAGGUCUCAACCUCAUAGUCUUACACUUGUUUUCAUAUCGUGACCUGCCAGUCUAGUUAGCAAUAUAAUUGCCUACCAGAGGCUUCAUAGAGGAACAUUUGCUUAGAUUCACUUACCUAGAUGAUCUGUAACACCCCUUACCCGAGACCGUUGUCAGAGUCGAGCACGAGGUAUUACUUAUCUUAUCUUACUAACUCGAAGCAUAAAAACUUGUUUUAAAAAUUAAUUUCACUAUUUAUAGCAAUUUGUCCAAUCGCGCAGCAGUUACUAAAUUAAUUAUAACUCGAGAUACGGAACUUGAAAUUUAACUCCGUAAAUUUUCCCUGAAACUAGACUCAUAUAUCUUCCUACCAUAAAAAUUUUAGGAUUUUUAGUUUAUCAAAUUAGUACAGUUUAUUAGUUAAAUUCUCCCCUGUUUCACAAAUCGACUGCCCUGACCUCUUAUCACUAAAAAUAAAAUGUAUCAUUGUGGGAUUUUCGUAUAGUGCUACCGCUUGCUUCUACAGAAAAUAGACUCAAUAAGGAAUCUAUACAUAUAAACUACAACUCAUAAAUAUUUUUUUAAAAUUUUUAAUGAUUUUAUAAACUCAAAACAGGGGUCACCAAAAACUGUUCUAACCCUGUCUCACCAAAAUUCACAUAUCUUAAAAUAUAAAUUCCUUUUGCUACACCGUUAUUUUUAUGUGAAAAUAGACUCAACAAGAUUUAUGUCAUUCAAUAUUUAAUUCAUUUUAUACUAUCCUAGGUGAUUUUUCAAAGUCACGUCACUGUUGCUGCCUGAAUUCUGUUUCUUUGCAAAAUUUUACCCUUUUAUGAUUUCCAUGCAUAGUUUAUCACUUAGACUCUUAUAACAACAAACACUUCCAUACUUAACCAUUUUAGCAACCAUUCAUCAUCAAAUACUUACACAUCAUUCUUUAGCAAGAUCAUAAAUACAAACAUUUAAAAUAACUAAAUCCCUUUACAUUCCAUACUCAACAUGGUUCAACAUAAAAAUACCGAGUUGCUGUGGUUGAUAGUGUGGACGAUCUCCGACUUCUUUAGGAUCCUUGAAGUAACCUUGCAAUACUAUAAGAGAAAGAGAAAUAAAAGACGUAAGCAUAAAGCUUAGUAAGUUUACUAGCAAAUAAAUAACAAUAUUUAACUAGAUAAUUAAACUCAAGUGUCUAUAUCUCUAGUUUACUAUUUAGUUAAUCUCAUUCUAGUUCUCUUGCUUGUUUACUUAGUAUACUUGUGUGCAUAACUUACUCCUCUCUUGCUGUAUAGUUGAAUAUCAAUUGAUAAUAUAAUAAGUUAUUAACUCUUAUAACUUACCUGAACUUGCCAUUUAUGUUUUUAACUGAACUUUCCUGAACAUGAUUCGUUAUUUAGCCCGUUGAGCUACAUUGGAACAAUAAGGAUACUCGGGUCUCUUCUGAUAAUAACAUGCCAAAGCCAUGUCCCAGACAUGGUCUUACAUGGGAUGUACUCAUGUCGGUGCCCAUUCCAUAUCCCAGACAUGGUCUUACGGGGGACCUCUCAUCUCGGUGCCAAUGCCAUGUCCCAGACAUGGUCUUACAUGGGACCUCUCAUCUCGGUGCCAACGCCAUGUCCCAGACAUGGUCUUACAUGGGACCUCUCAUCUCGGUGCCAACGCCAUGUCCCAGACAUGGUCUUACAUGGGACCUCUUUACCCAAAUGUCAUGACAUUCGUAUCCAGUACCAUCCUUACUAUUCAUGACAACCGAUAUAUAUAUAUACAUACUCACUAUUCACAAGGACUCGAACGAUUAUAUACUCAUCAACCACCUUAAAACAAUGUUCAUAAACUUAUCCAUUUCAUAUAAACAAAAGCAUAUAUAUUUAUAACCAAUGCAUAGAAUCACUUAAUUUAAACAGAUUCACUGGCACUUCACCUGAUAGGCUUAUAGUUUAAUUCAGUUCACCGGCACUUAGCCUACUAGGCUUGUAGCCUGAUUCAGUUCACCGGCACUUAGCCUGCUAGACGUAUAGUCCGAUUCAAUUCACCGGCAUUUAGCCUGCUAGACGUAUAGUCUGAUUCAAUUUACCGGCACUUAGCCUGCUAGACGUAUAGUCUGAAUAAUUUUACUGGUAAUAAAUCCGAUAGUAAUUUCUCCGUUGAAAUUGAAUUAUAUUCAAUUCUGCGUAACAAACAUGCACUUAAAACAUACUUGCAUAAUUCACAACAAUAAUUUCAGUCCAAAGAGCUGUAAUUCAUAUUCGAACUAUAUAUAUAUAAAUCCAUACAUAAAAAUUCAACUCAAAAUUUAUAACCUAUAUCUUUGAACCACAUAGGUACAUGAAAUUCAAACACCAAAAUCCAGCUCAAUAACUUCAUGAUUCAACCUAACAAAUUUAUGUAUAUAACUUUUUAUCUAAUUUCAAUACAAUAACUUAUACAUGUACGUAUAUACAUAUUCGAAUCUAACAUAUACAUAUAUAAUUUCAUACUUAAAUAUAUUCAAGACUUAUUCAUGAGUAUACAUAUAUAUUACAACUCACAUGUACAUAUAUAUACACAUUCAUACCUUUAACCAAGUCCAAGGCUUUAUACAUGUAUAUGCUUAUAUAUAUAUAUUCGGACCUUAUGUUUACAUAUAUAUAUUAUAUAAAUACCUUUGAUUAAAAACAAGUAUUUAUACAUAUAUAUAUUUUCGAACAUGAUACAUAUAUAUUUAUAUCAUUCAUACUUAAACAAAAUUCAAUCCAUAUACUUUCAAUUUCAGCUCACCAAAUUACUAUAGAUAUACAUGCAUAUAUACUGAUUUAAUAACCUCAAAUUGCUAAUAGACUUACCUCGGAUAUCAGCGGACACGAUCGAGUAUUCGAUUACUUUCGUUUUUCCCCGAUCCAAAUUCGUUUUCUUCGUUUUUUAUCUUAAUUAGACCUAGAGAUAGCCGAACCUUGUUGUUCUCUUUUCUUUUCUUUUCUUUUUCUUUUCUAUAUUCGGCCAAGAUGAAGAACAUGGCAUUUAAAAUUUGUUAUAUUAAACAUAUAUUAGCCUUAUUUUUAAUUUACUAUAUUAACCUUUACAUAUAUAUAACAUAUAUAAUAAGGUUACAUUAGUCCUUUGCCACCCACUAACUUACAUAGUGGACUAAUUGCAUAGUAAAACCUCUAAAUUAUAAAGACAACAAGAAUUAGGUCCUUUUAUAAUUAACCCCUAAAUUUUCAUUUUACGCGAUUAAGCCCUUUUAUUAAAUCGGACACUUAAACGACGAAAUUAAAACACGAAAAUUUCACACAAUCAAAUGCAUACAAAACAAUAUUAAUAAUAUUUUUCUAAUUCAAAUUUGUGGUCCCGAAACCAGUAUUCUGAUUAGGGUCAAAAACCGGGUUGUUACAACUCUCCCCCCUUAGGGAUUUUCGUCCCCGAAAAUCUUACCGGUGAAUAGGUUUGGAUAACGCUCUUUCAUUGUAUCUUCUAACUCCCAAGUUGCUUCUUCAACCCCAUGUUUAUGCCACAACACUUUAACUAACGGAAUUUUCUUAUUUCGUAAUUCUUUGAUCUCACGAGCCAGAAUGCUAAUCGGUUCUUCCUCAUAUGUCAUAUCAGAGUUAAUUUCAAUCUCCGUCGGACUAAUCACAUGUGAAGGAUCAGAUCGGUAUCUACGAAGCAUCGAAACAUGGAAUACGUUAUGAAUCUUUUCUAACUCAGGCAGUAACAUCAAUCUAUAAGCAACCAAUCCAACUCGCUCUAUAAUCUCAUACGGUCCAAUGAAUCUCGGACACAAUUUGCCUUUACGACCAAAUCUGAGUAUUUUCUUCCACGGUGAGACUUUUAAAAACACUUUAUCCCCGAUCUGAAAUUCUAUAUCCUUUCUUUUCAAAUUCGCAUAAGAUUUCUGACGAUCCGAUGCUGAUUUCAGACUGUCCCGAAUCACUUUCACUUUCUGUUCGGUCUCUUUAAUCAAAUCAACCCCGUGUAUCUUAUUUUCACUGAGCUCGGUCCAAUACAGUGGUGUACGACAUUUACAACCGUACAAAGCCUCAUAAGGUGCCAUUUUGAUACUAGAUUGAAAGCUAUUAUUAUAAGCAAAUUCAAUCAAAGGUAAGUAUCGUUCCCACGUACCUUCAAACUCGAGAAUGCAACAUCUCAACAUAUCCUCAAGUAUCUGAAUGAUUCAUUCAGAUUGACCAUCUGUCUGCGGAUCGAAAGCUGUGCUAAAAUGUAGUUUCGUACCUAAAGCAUCUUGUAGUUUCUUCCAAAAUCGCGAUGUGAAUCUCAGAUCUCUGUCUGAAACAAUAGAAAUAGGUACACCAUGCAACCUCACAAUUUGUGAAAUAUACAAUUCCGCAAGUUUAUCGAGCGAAAAAUCUGUACGAAUCGAAAUAAAAUGUGUCGAUUUUGUCAACCUAUCAACAAUAACCCAGAUUGCAUCUAUCUUGCUCGGUGUCAACGGUAAAUCGGAUACAAAAUCCAUCGUGACUCGAUCCCAUUUCCAUUGAGGUAUCAUGAUCGGCUGAAGCAACCCAGAUGGUACCUGAUGCUUGGCUUUAACUUGCUGACAAAUUAAACAUUUCGAAACAAAGUCAGAAAUGUCUCGUUUCAUACCUUGCCACCAAUAGUGCUGUUUCAGAUCGUUAUACAUUUUCGUGCUACCCGGAUGAACAGAAAAUCGACUACUAUGAGCUUCCUUCAAAAUCAUCUAAAUUAACUCUGAUUUUUUCGGAACACAUAAUCGGUUUCUAAAUCUCAAACAAUCCUCAGCAUCAACUAAAAACUCCGAAUCAAUAUUUAAGUCACAUUGAGCUCGUUUUGCAGUUAAAUCAUUAUCGACCUUUUGAGCUUCACAAAUCUGUUGUACAAAUAACGGUUUUGCUUUCAACUCAGCUACUAUCGCACCAUCAUCAGACAUAACCAUAUGUGCGUUCAUUGCACGCAAAGCAAACAGUGAUUUUCGACUUAGGGCAUCAGCAACAACAUUAGCCUUUCCCGGAUGAUAGUCAAUCACAAGCUCGUAUUCUUUCAGCAAUUCUAACCAUCGACGCUGUCUCAAAUUCAGAUAUUUCUGAGUCAUCAAAUAUUUCAGGCUUUUGGGAUCGGAAUAAACAUGACAUCUUUCACCAAACAGAUAGUGACGCCAUAUUUUUAACGCAAAUACAAUAGCGGCCAAUUCCAGAUCAUGUGUCGGAUAGUUUUUUUCAUGCGGCUUUAACUGUCUCAAGGCAUAGGCUACAACUUUGCCUUCCUACAUCAAAACACAACCCAAACCAUUUAAAGAUGCAUCACUAUAGAUAACAAACUCUUUACCCGAUUCGGGUUGAACUAAGACUGGAGCUUCGGUCAAAAGAACUUUCAACUGAUCAAAGUUUUUCUGACACUUUUCUGACCACUCGAACUUAACGUCUUUUUGUAGUAGCUUUGUCAUCGGGGUCGCAAUCAUAGAAAACCCUUUCACGAACCGUCUAUAAUAACCAGCGAGCCCCAGAAAGCUUCGAACAUCAGAGACAUUUCUCGGAGGUUUCCAAUCAAGUAUAGCUGAAAUUUUACCUGGAUCAACUCGAAUACCCGAUGCUGACACAACAUGGCCCAGAAAACUAACUUCACGUAACCAGAACUCGCAUUUACUGAACUUUGCAUACAACUGUUUAUCUCGCAAAGUUUGUAACACAAGUCUCAGAUGUUCAGUAUGCUCGGUUUCAUCACGAGAGUAGAUCAAAAUAUCAUCUAUAAAUACUACCACAAAUCGAUCCAGAUACUGUCUAAAAAUCUGAUUCAUCAAAUCCAUGAAAACAGCAGGUGCAUUAGUAAGUCCAAAAGGCAUAACCAAGAACUCAUAAUGUCCGUACCUCGUUCGGAAAGCUGUCUUUGGCACAUCAGAGUCUUUAACUCGCAACUGAUAGUAGCCUGAUCUCAGAUCUAUCUUCGAAAACACAGUAGCCCCUUUCAACUGAUCGAACAAAUCAUCAAUCCGUGGUAACGGAUACUUAUUCUUUAUAGUCACCUUAUUGAGUUGCCGGUAAUCAAUGCACAUUCUCAUUGUUCUGUCUUUCUUUUUCACAAAUAGAACUGGUGCACCCCAAGGAGAGAAACUCGGUCGUGUAAAACCUUUAUCAGUCAACUCUUGCAACUGUACUUUCAAUUCUUUUAAUUCGGUCGGUACCAUACGGUACGGAGCUAUCGAAAUUGGAGUUGUCCCUGGUACUAACUCAAUACCAAACUCUACCUCUCGAAUAGGUGGCAAACCCGGUAAUUCUUCGGGAAACACGUCUGAAUACUUACACACUACUGGCACAGAUUCAAUCUUCUUUUCGGUCACUUUACUAUCAAGAAAAAAUGCAAGGUAAUCUUCACAACCUUUUCUCACAUACUUCUGAGCCGACAUCGAGGAUAUUAUUGCUGGUAAACCAUUCAGAUCAUUAGAUUCAAUCCGAAUAAUCUCAUCAUUCUGACACCGUAGAUCAAUAGUUUUCCGUUUGCAGUUUACUAUAGCAUUAUGCAGAGUUAACCAAUCCAUACCCAGAAUUAUAUCAAACUCGUCAAAUGGUAGCAACAUCAAAUCAGCCAGAAAACAUAAAUCUCGAAUCAUCAACGGACAAUUCUUGCACACUUUGUCAACCAAAACACACCGGCCCAAGAGGUUCAAUACUUUAAUUACAAACUCAGUAGACUCAACAGGCAAAGUCUUACUGAAUACUAAAGUCUCACACACAUAAGAAUGAGUCGAACCAAGAUCAAUCAAUGCAAUAACAUUAGUAUCAUAAAGAGUGAAAGUACCAGUAAUAACAUCUGGAGAAGAAGCCUCCUCCCGAGCACGGAUGGCAUAUGCUCUGGCAAGUGCACGAGCCUCAGAUCGAACUGCCAUGUCCUUUGUUCCUCUCUGACUGCCACUUACAUUACUCAAUUGCCUCGGCGGUCUACCUCGUACAGGUACUUUACUCGGUCUGGUAUUCUACACAGUGUUUUGCUCAGCUACCAUCGGACACUCUCGAAUGAAAUGAUCCUUUGAACCGCACUUAAAGCAAGACCGAUCAUGUAAUCUGCAAUCUCCAGGAUGCCAUUUCCCACAAUGCUUGUACUCUGAUCUAUUUUGUCGAACACUACCAACGCUAGCAACUGAAGUAGCUCGUGAACUCACAGGGGGUCGAUCUCGAUCAUACUUAGGAAACCCUGCAGUAGCUUUAGAUCGGCUAUGAUCCUCUCUGGAUUUCAUUGAGGUCGACUGGAAUGAUUUACUGAAUGAUCUUUUACGAGAAUCUCGAGCUUCAUAGCCAGCUUUCCUCUUCUCUUUACUGAGCUCCUUAACUUUACAAGGUCGUUCAACAAGUACUACGAACUCUUUUAUCUCAAGUAUACCAAAUAACAGUUUAAUAUCUUCAUCCAGCCCAUCUUCAAAUCUUUUACACAUGAUAGCUUCAGUCGAAAUACAUUCUCGAGCAUAUCUACUGAGUCUCACAAAUUUCCGCUCAUAUUCUAUCACUGUCAUACGACCCUGUUUCAAUUCAAGAAAUUCCUUAUGCUUCUGAUCAAUGAAUCUUUGGCUGAUGUAUUUCUUACAGAACUCAAUCUGAAAGAAUUCCCAGGUCACUCGCUCUUUCGGAACCACCGAUACUAGUGUAUUCCACCAGUGAUAUGCAGUGUCCCGUAGCAAAGAUAUGGCACAUUUCAAGUACUCAUCAGGGGUGCAAGAUAACUCAUCAAACACUCGAAUAGUAUUAUCAAGCCAGAAUUCAGCUUGCUCAGCAUCAUCAUCAUCAGUAGCUCUGAACUCUUCGACCCCGUGUUUUCAAAUUUAGUCAACAGGAGGCUUAAGUAAUCUCAUCGGAUCACUUACUUGAGGUAUAAUAGGAAUCGAAGGUGGAUUAGUCGGGGGUGGAGUUUGUUGUGCAACCGGAUUAGUUCGGACAUAUUGAGUAAACCAGUCAUUCAUCAUUUGGUAGAAGGCUUGUUUAGCCUCUCCCUCCUGGUUACUCGAGGUCGGUCGAGAAUCUACCAGCUCUGUCCCUUGUGUGGGAGCAGGCGCUAUACUCUCAACAUCAUCGACUACGGCUGGAUCGGGAUCCAUUACUAUACGAAAACACAUUUUUAGACAUCAGCAGUCAUCGCACUAUCUUGGUAUAAAAAUAUGGCAUGUAUAGCUAGACUCAUACAUGCUACAUUAGUCCAAGAAUCGAUUAAACCGUAGCUCUGAUACCAAUAAAAUGUAACACCCCUAACCCGUAUCCGUCGCCGAAUUAGGGUUACGAGGCAUUACUGAACAAAUACAACCAUUUUUAAAACCAACUGAUCACAAACAUGAAAAUUAAAUCAUUUUCACAUAGCUAUUUAUAAUUUACAAUCAACAUCUAACCAACAUCGUACUCAAACCUAUACAUGCCAUAAGAUCAAGUUCAAAUAUUUAACAAAAUACCAAAAGGGGUCGAAAGUGUGAUAGACUAUGCUGAUGAUCCCCGAGCUCGUAACGCAUCUCCAAAAUCUAUAAAAACAAAUGGACAAAAACAAUCAAAGUAAGCUUUUAUAGCUUAGUAAGUCUAUAGCAUAUCUAAAAUACAUAUAAAAGAAUCAUAUAAUUCUUAAAAUAAAUUUAUUGAAAUCACAAUUAUCAAUUAUAAUUACUAAUCGAACAUUGCUAUAUUAAGUCAUCUUGUUUAAAUCUAAAAGGAUGUGUAUUUAUCUAAUACACAUGAACGGACAAAUGUAUAUACAUUAUAUGCAUAUAAUCAAUUUACUAACAUAAUCAUUAAUUGCAUAUACGGAUUUCUAUAGUACUUAUUGUUCGCACUUAAUCGGAUCCAUUUAAAUAUAAUUGUUCAAAUACAUAUACCAAAAGCAUAAUAAUUUUAUACUUGAUCAACUAUAAGUGCCGAAUGCACAUAUACACCUAUACCCACCUAUGCCGAAUGCAUACAUAUAUACACAUAUAUAUAUAUCCAACAAUUUCGUGACAACCGAUAUAUAUAUACAUACUCACUAUUCACAAGGACUCGAACGAUUAUAUACUCAUCAACCACCUUAAAACAAUGUUCAUAAACUUAUCCAUUUCAUAUAAACAAAAGCAUAUAUAUUUAUACCCAAUGCAUAGAAUCACUUAAUUUAAACAGAUUCACUAGCACUUCACCUGAUAGGCUUAUAGUUUAAUUCAGUUCACCGGUACUUAGCCUACUAGGCUUGUAGCCUGAUUCAGUUCACCGGCACUUAGCCUGCUAGACGUAUAGUCCGAUUCAAUUCACCGGCAUUUAGCCUGCUAGACGUAUAGUCCGAUUCAAUUUAUCGGCACUUAGCCUGCUAGAUGUAUAGUCUGAAUAAUUUUACUGGUAAUAAAUCCGAUAGUCAUUUCUCCGUUGAAAUUGAAUUAUAUUCAAUUCUGCGUAACAAACAUGCACUUAAAACAUACUUGCAUAAUUCACAACAAUAAUUUCAGUCCAAAGAGCUGUAAUUCAUAUUCGAACUAUAUAUAUAAAUCCAUACAUAAAAAUUCAGCUCAAAAUUUAUAACCUAUAUCUUUGAACCACAUAGGUACAUGAAAUUCAAACAACAAAAUCCAGCUCAAUAACUUCAUGAUUCAACCUAACAAAUUUAUGUAUAUAACUUUUUAUCUAAUUUCAAUACAAUAACUUAUACAUGUACGUAUAUACAUAUUCGAAUCUAACAUAUACAUAUAUAAUUUCAUACUUAAAUAUAUUCAAGACUUAUUCAUGAGUAUACAUAUAUAUUACAACUCACAUGUACAUAUAUAUACACAUUCAUACCUUUAACCAAGUCCAAGGCUUUAUACAUGUAUAUGCUUAUAUAUAUAUAUAUUCGGACCUUAUGUUUACAUAUAUAUUAUAUAUAAAUACCUUUGAUUAAAAACAAGUAUUUAUACAUAUAUAUAUUUUUGAACAUGAUACAUAUAUAUAUUUAUAUCAUUCAUACUUAAACAAAAUUCAAUCCAUAUACUUUCAAUUUCAGCUCACCAAAUUACUAUAGAUAUACAUGCAUAUAUACUGAUUUAAUAACCUCAAAUUGCUAAUAGACUUACCUCGGAUAUCAGCGGACACGAUCGACUAUUCGAUUACUUUCGUUUUUCCCCGAUCCAAAUUCGUUUUCUUCGUUUUUUUAUCUUAAUUAGACCUAGAGAUAGCCGAACCUUGUUGUUCUCUUUUCUUUUCUUUUCUUUUUCUUUUCUAUAUUCGGCCAAGAUGAAGAACAUGGCAUUUAAAAUUUGUUAUAUUAAACAUAUAUUAGCCUUAUUUUUAAUUUACUAUAUUAACCUUUACAUAUAUAUAUAACAUAUAUAAUAAGGUUACAUUAGUCCUUUGCCACCCACUAACUUACAUAGUGGACUAAUUGCAUAGUAAAACCUCUAAAUUAUAAAGACAACAACAAUUAGGUGCUUUUAUAAUUAACCCCUAAAUUUUCAUUUUACGCGAUUAAGCCCUUUUAUUAAAUCGGACACUUAAACGACGAAAUUAAAACACGAAAAUUUCACACAAUCAAAUGCAUACAAAAUAAUAUUAAUAAUAUUUUUCUAAUUCAAAUUUGUGGUCCCGAAACCAGUAUUCUGAUUAGGGUCAAAAACCGGGUUGUUACAACUCUCCCCCCUUAGAGAUUUUCGUCCCCGAAAAUCUUACCGGUGAAUAGGUUUGGAUAACGCUCUUUCAUUGUAUCUUCUGACUCCCAAGUUGCUUCUUCAACCCCAUGUUUAUGCCACAACACUUUAACUAACGGAAUUUUCUUAUUUCGUAAUUCUUUGAUCUCACGAGCAAGAAUGCUAAUCGGUUCUUCCUCAUAUGUCAUAUCAGAGUUAAUUUCAAUCUCCGUCGGACUAAUCACAUGUGAAGGAUCAGAUCGGUAUCUACGGAGCAUCGAAACAUGGAAUACGUUAUGAAUCUUUUCUAACUCAGGCAGUAACAUCAAUCUAUAAGCAACCAAUCCAACUCGCUCUAUAAUCUCAUACGGUCCAAUUAAUCUCGGACACAAUUUGCCUUUACGACCAAAUCUGAGUAUUUUCUUCCACGGUGAGACUUUUAACUUGCUCGGUGUCAACGGUAAAUCGGAUACAAAAUCCAUCGUGACUCGAUCCCAUUUCCAUUGAGGUAUCAUGAUCGGCUGAAGCAAUCCAGAUGGUACCUGAUGCUCGGCUUUAACUUGCUGACAAAUUAAACAUUUCGAAACAAAGUCAGAAAUGUCUCGUUUCAUACCUUGCCACCAAUAGUGCUGUUUUAGAUCGUUAUACAUUUUCGUGCUACCCGGAUGAACAGAAAAUCGAAUACUAUGAGCUUCCUUCAAAAUCAUCUGAAUUAACUCUGAAUUUUUCGGAACACAUAAUCGGUUUCUAAAUCUCAAACAAUCCUCAGCAUCAACUAAAAACUCCGAAUCAAUAUUUAAGUCACAUUGAGCUCGUUUUGCAGUUAAAUCAUUAUCAACCUUUUGAGCUUCACAAAUCUGUUGUACAAAUAACAGUUUUGCUUUCAACUCAGCUACUAUCGCACCAUCAUCAGACAUAACCAUAUGUGCGUUCAUUGCACGCAAAGCAAACAGUGAUUUUCGACUUAGGGCAUCAGCAACAACAUUAGCCUUUCCCGGAUGAUAGUCAAUCACAAGCUCGUAAUCUUUCAGCAAUUCUAACCAUCGACGCUGUCUCAAAUUCAGAUAUUUCUGAGUCAUCAAAUAUUUCAGGCUUUUGGGAUCGGAAUAAACAUGACAUCUUUCGCCAAACAGAUAGUGACGCCAUAUUUUUAACGCAAAUACAAUAGCGGCCAAUUCCAGAUCAUGCGUCGGAUAGUUUUUUUCAUGCGGCUUUAACUGUCUCAAGGCAUAGGCUACAACUUUGCCUUCCUACAUCAAAACACAACCCAAACCAUUUAAAGAUGCAUCACUAUAGAUAACAAACUCUUUACCCGAUUCGGGUUGAACUAGGACUGGAGCUUCGGUCAAAAGAACUUUCAACUGAUCAAAGUUUUUCUGACACUUUUCUGACCACUCGAACUUAACGUCUUUUUGUAGUAGCUUUGUCAUCGGGGUCGCAAUCAUAGAAAACCCUUUCACGAACCGUCUAUAAUAACCAGCGAGCCCCAGAAAGCUUCGAACAUCAGAGACAUUUCUCGGAGGUUUCCAAUCAAGUAUAGCUGAAAUUUUACUUGGAUCAACCUGAAUACCCGAUGCUGACACAACAUGGCCCAGAAAACUAACUUCACGUAACCAGAACUCGAAUUUACUGAACUUUGCAUACAACUGUUUAUCUCGCAAAGUUUGUAACACAAGUCUCAGAUGUUCAGUAUGCUCGGUUUCAUCACGAGAGUAGAUCAAAAUAUCAUCUAUAAAUACUACCACAAACAGAUCCAGAUACUGUCUAAAAAUCUGAUUCAUCAAAUCCAUGAAAACAGCAGGUGCAUUAGUAAGUCCAAAAGGCAUAACCAAGAACUCAUAAUGUCCGUACCUCGUUCGGAAAGCAGUCUUUGGCACAUCAGAGUCUUUAACUCGCAACUGAUAGUAGCCUGAUCUCAGAUCUAUCUUCGAAAACACAGUAGCCCCUUUCAACUGAUCGAACAAAUCAUCAAUCCGUGGUAACGGAUACUUAUUCUUUAUAGUCACCUUAUUGAGUUGCCGGUAAUCAAUGCACAUUCUCAUUGUUCCGUCUUUCUUUUUCACAAAUAGAACUGGUGCACCCCAAGGAGAGAAACUCGGUCGUGCAAAACCUUUAUCAGUCAACUCUUGCAACUGUACUUUCAAUUCUUUUAAUUCAGUCGGUGCCAUACGGUACGGAGCUAUCGAAAUUGGAGUUGUCCCUGGUACUAACUCAAUACCAAACUCUACCUCUCGAAUAGGUGGCAAACCCGGUAAUUCUUCGGGAAACACGUCUGAAUACUUACACACUACUGGCACAGAUUCAAUCUUCUUUUCGAUCACUUUACUAUCAAGAAAAAAUGCAAGGUAAUCUUCACAACCUUUUCUCACAUACUUUUUUGCCGACAUCGAGGAUAUUAUUGCUGGUAAACCAUUCAGAUCAUUAGAUUCAAUCCGAAUAAUCUCAUCAUUCUGACACCGUAGAUCAAUAGUUUUCCGUUUGCAGUUUACUAUAGCAUCAUGCAGAGUUAACCAAUCCAUACCCAGAAUUAUAUCAAACUCGUCAAAUGGUAGCAACAUCAAAUCAGCCAGAAAACAUAAAUCUCGAAUCAUCAACGGACAAUUCUUGCAUAUUUUGUCAACCAAAACACACCGGCCCAGGGGGUUCAAUACUUUAAUUACAAACUCAGUAGACUCAACAGGCAAAGUCUUACUGAAUACUAAAGUCUCACACACAUAAGAAUGAGUCGAACCAAGAUCAAUCAAUGCAAUAACAUUAGUAUCAUAAAGAGGGAAAGUACCAGUAAUAACAUCUGGAGAAGAAGCCUCCUCUUGAGCACGGAUGGCAUAUGCUCUGGCAAGUGCACGAGCCUCAGAUCGAACUGCCAUGUCCUUUGUUCCUCUCUGACUGCCACUUACAUUACUCAAUUGCCUCGGUGGUCUACCUCGUACUGGCACUUUACUCGGUCUGGUAUUCUGCACAGUGUUUUGCUCAGCUACCAUCGGACACUCUCGAAUGAAAUGAUCCUUUGAACCGCACUUAAAGCAAGACCGAUCAUGUAAUCUGCAAUCUCCAGGAUGCCAUUUCCCACAAUACUUGUACUCUGAUCUAUUUUGUCGAACACUACCAACGCUAGCAACUGAAGUAGCUCGUGAACUCACAGGGGGUCGAUCUCGAUCAUACUUAGGAAACCCUGCAGUAGCUUUAGAUCGGCUAUGAUCCUCUCUGGAUUUCAUUGAGGUCGACUGGAAUGAUUUACUGAAUAAUCUUUUACGAGAAUCUCGAGCUUCAUAGCCAGCUUUCCUCUUCUCUUUCCCGAGCUCCUCAACUUUACAAGGUCGUUCAACAAGUACUACGAACUCUUUUAUCUCAAGUAUACCAAAUAACAGUUUAAUAUCUUCAUCCAGCCCAUCUUCAAAUCUUUUACACAUGAUAGCUUCAGUCGAAAUACAUUCUCGAGCAUAUCUACUGAGUCUCACAAAUUUCCGCUCAUAUUCUAUCACUGUCAUACGACCCUGUUUCAAUUUAAGAAAUUACUUACGCUUCUGAUCAAUGAAUCUUUGGCUGAUGUAUUUCUUACAGAACUCAAUCUGAAAGAAUUCCCAGGUCACUCGCUCUUUCGGAACCACCGAUACUAGUGUAUUCCACCAGUGAUAUGCAGUGUCCCGUGGCAAAGAUAUGGCACAUUUCAAGUACUCAUCAGGGGUGCAAGAUAACUCAUCAAACACUCGAAUAGUAUUAUCAAGCCAGAAUUCAUCUCGCUCAGCAUCAUCAUCAUCAGUAGCUCUGAACUCUUCGACCCCGUGUUUUUGAAUUUUGUCAAUAGGAGGCUUAAGUAAUCUCAUCGGAUCACUUACUUGAGGUAUAACAGGAAUCGAAGGUGGAUUAGUCGGGGGUGGAGUUUGUUGUGCAACCGGAUUAGUUCGGACAUAUUGAGUAAACCAGUCAUUCAUCAUUUGGUAGAAGGCUUGUUUAGCCUCUCCCUCCUGGUUACUCGAGGUCGGUCGAGAAUCUACCGGCUCUGUCCCUUGUGUGGGAGCAGGCGCUAUACCCUCAACAUCAUCGACUACGGCUCGAUCGGGAUCCAUUACUAUACGAAAACACAUUUUUAGACAUCAGCAGUCAUCACACUAUCUUGGUAUAAAAAUAUGGCAUGUAUAGCUAGACUCAUACAUGCUACAUUAGUCCAAGAAUCGAUUAAACCGUAGCUCUGAUACCAAUAAAAUGUAACACCCCUAACCCGUAUCCGUCGCCGAAUUAGGGUUACGAGGCAUUACUGAACAAAUACAACCAUUUUUAAAACCAACUGAUCACAAACAUGAAAAUUAAAUCAUUUUCACAUAGCUAUUUAUAAUUUACAAUCAACAUCUAACCAACAUCGUACUCAAACCUAUACAUGCCAUAAGAUCAAGUUCAAAUAUUUAACAAAAUACCAAAAGGGGUCAAAAGUGUGAUAGACUAUGCUGAUGAUCCCCGAGCUCGUAACGCGUCUCCAAAAUCUAUAAAAACAAAUGGACAAAAACAAUCAAAGUAAGCUUUUAUAGCUUAGUAAGUCUAUAGCAUAUCUAAAAUACAUAUAAAAGAAUCAUAUAAUUCUUAAAAUAAAUUUAUUGAAAUCACAAUUAUCAAUUAUAAUUACUAAUCGAACAUUGCUAUAUUAAGUCAUCUUGUUUAAAUCUAAAAGGAUGUGUAUUUAUCUAAUACACAUGAACGGACAAAUGUAUAUACAUUAUAUGCAUAUAAUCAAUUUACUAACAUAAUCAUUAAUUGCAUAUACGGAUUUCUAUAGUACUUAUUGUUCGCACUUCAUCGGAUCCAUUUAAAUAUAAUUGUUCAAAUACAUAUACCAAAAGCAUAAUAAUUUUAUACUUGAUCAACUAUAAGUGCCGAAUGCACAUAUACACCUAUACCCACCUAUGCCGAAUGCAUACAUAUAUACACAUAUAUAUAUAUCCAACAAUUUCAUGACAACCGAUAUAUAUAUACAUACUCACUAUUCACAAGGACUCGAACGAUUAUAUACUCAUCAACCACCUUAAAACAAUGUUCAUAAACUUAUCCAUUUCAUAUAAACAAAAGCAUAUAUAUUUAUACCCAAUGCAUAGAAUCACUUAAUUUAAACAGAUUCACUGGCACUUCACCUGAUAGGCUUAUAGUUUAAUUCAGUUCACCGGCACUUAGCCUACUAGGCUUGUAGCCUGAUUCAGUUCACCGGCACUUAGCCUGCUAGACGUAUAGUCCGAUUCAAUUCACCGGCAUUUAGCCUGCUAGACGUAUAGUCCGAUUCAAUUUACCGGCACUUAGCCUGCUAGAUGUAUAGUCUGAAUAAUUUUACUGGUAAUAAAUCCGAUAGUCAUUUCUCCGUUGAAAUUGAAUUAUAUUCAAUUCUGCGUAACAAACAUGCACUUAAAACAUACUUGCAUAAUUCACAACAAUAAUUUCAGUCCAAAGAGCUGUAAUUCAUAUUCGAACUAUAUAUAUAUAAAUCCAUACAUAAAAAUUCAGCUCAAAAUUUAUAACCUAUAUCUUUGAACCACAUAGGUACAUGAAAUUCAAACAACAAAAUCCAGCUCAAUAACUUCAUGAUUCAACCUAACAAAUUUAUGUAUAUAACUUUUUAUCUAAUUUCAAUACAAUAACUUAUACAUGUACGUAUAUACAUAUUUGAAUCUAACAUAUACAUAUAUAAUUUCAUACUUAAAUAUAUUCAAGACUUAUUCAUGAGUAUACAUAUAUAUUACAACUCACAUGUACAUAUAUAUACACAUUCAUACCUUUAACCAAGUCCAAGGCUUUAUACAUGUAUAUGCUUAUAUAUAUAUAUAUUCGGACCUUAUGUUUACAUAUAUAUUAUAUAUAAAUACCUUUGAUUAAAAACAAGUAUUUAUACAUAUAUAUAUUUUCGAACAUGAUACAUACAUAUAUUUAUAUCAUUCAUACUUAAACAAAAUUCAAUCCAUAUACUUUCAAUUUCAGCUCACCAAAUUACUAUAGAUAUACAUGCAUAUAUACUGAUUUAAUAACCUCAAAUUGCUAAUAGACUUACCUCGGAUAUCAGCGGACACGAUCGACUAUUCGAUUACUUUCGUUUUUCCCCGAUCCAAAUUCGUUUUCUUCGUUUUUUUAUCUUAAUUAGACCUAGAGAUAGCCGAACCUUGUUGUUCUCUUUUCUUUUCUUUUCUUUUUCUUUUCUAUAUUCGGCCAAGAUGAAGAACAUGGCAUUUAAAAUUUGUUAUAUUAAACAUAUAUUAGCCUUAUUUUUAAUUUACUAUAUUAACCUUUACAUAUAUAUAACAUAUAUAAUAAGGUUACAUUAGUCCUUUGCCACCCACUAACUUACAUAGUGGACUAAUUGCAUAGUAAAACCUCUAAAUUAUAAAGACAACAACAAUUAGGUGCUUUUAUAAUUAACCCCUAAAUUUUCAUUUUACGCGAUUAAGCCCUUUUAUUAAAUCGGACACUUAAACAACGAAAUUAAAACACGAAAAUUUCACACAAUCAAAUGCAUACAAAAUAAUAUUAAUAAUAUUUUUCUAAUUCAAAUUUGUGGUCCCGAAACCAGUAUUCUGAUUAGGGUCAAAAACUGGGUUGUUACAACUCUCCCCCCUUAGGGAUUUUCGUCCCCGAAAAUCUUACCGGUGAAUAGGUUUGGAUAACGCUCUUUCAUUGUAUCUUCUGACUCCCAAGUUGCUUCUUCAACCCCAUGUUUAUGCCACAACACUUUAACUAACGGAAUUUUCUUAUUUCGUAAUUCUUUGAUCUCACGAGCCAGAAUGCUAAUCGGUUCUUCCUCAUAUGUCAUAUCAGAGUUAAUUUCAAUCUCCGUCGGACUAAUCACAUGUGAAGGAUCAGAUCGGUAUCCACAGAGCAUUGAAACAUGGAAUACGUUAUGAAUCUUUUCUAACUCAGGCAGUAACAUCAAUCUAUAACCAACCGAUCCAACUCGCUCUAUAAUCUCAUACGGUCCAAUGAAUCUCGGACUCAAUUUGCCUUUACGACCAAAUCUGAGUAUUUUCUUCCACGGUGAGACUUUUAAAAACACUUUAUCCCCGAUCUGAAAUUCUAUAUCCUUUCUUUUCAAAUCCGCAUAAGAUUUCUGACGAUCCGGUGCUGAUUUCAGACUGUCCCGAAUCACUUUCACUUUCUGUUCGGUCUCUUUAAUCAAAUCAACCCCGUGUAUCUUAUUUUCACUGAGCUCAGUCCAAUACAGUGGUGUACGACAUUUACGACCGUACAAAGCCUCAUAAGGUGCCAUUUUGAUACUAGAUUGAAAGCUAUUAUUAUAAGCAAAUUCAAUCAAAGGUAAGUAUCGUUCCCACGUACCUUCAAACUCGAGAAUGCAACAUCUCAACAUAUCCUCAAGUAUCUGAAUGAUUCGUUCAGAUUGACCAUCUGUCUGCGGAUGGAAAGCUGUGCUAAAAUGUAGUUUCGUACCUAAAGCUGUGCUAAAAUGCACACAAAAUAAACACACAAAAUAAUAUUAAUAAUAUUUUUCUAAUUCGGAUUUGUGGUCCCGAAACCACUAUUCCGAUUAGGGUCAAAAACCGGGUUGUUACAAUUCUGCUUCUUCUGCAUCAUCAUCUUUGGUAGCUCGAAAUUCUUCAGCCCCUUACUUCCUAAUCUUAUCAACAGGUGGUCUCUCACUGAUGACUAUACCUGCAGCUAGGGAAACUACAUGAGGAACCUGUGAAUCCUGAAGGGGUGGAGGUCUUACACCCGGAUUCAUACGAACGAACUCGGCAAACCAAUCAUUCAUGGCUUGGAAGAAGGCUUCUCUAGCUCCUCCUCCCUGUCUAACUGAUGCAGGUCUUUCACUAACGUUAACAUCUAGUGGCACCGUCCUUUCUGCGGAAGUAGGCGCAUUACUCUCUACUUCAUCUGCACCAGCUCGUUCAGGAUCCGUAACUAUAAAAUAAAAUAUUUUAAAAUCGUCAAGAGUCGUCACACUAUCAAAAUAUAUAAGUAUGGCAUGUAUAGGUAGACUUUUAUUCAUACUGCAUAUUUCUGAGAACCGAUUAAACCUGCUCUGAUACCAACAAAUGUAACACCCCUUACCCAAGACCAUUUUCGGAGUCGAGCACGAGGCAUUACUUAUCUUAUCUUACUAACUCGAAGCAUAAAAACUUAUUUUAAAAAUUAAUUUCACUAUUUACAGCAAUCUGUCCAAUCGAGCAGCAGUUACUAAAUUAAUAAUAACUCGAGCUACGGAACUUGAAAUUUAACUUCGUAAAUUUUCACUGAAACUAGACUCAUAUAUCUUCCUACCAUAAAGUUUUUAGGAUUUUUUGUUUAGCCAACUAGUACAGUUUAUUAGUCAAAUUCUCCCCUGUUUCACCAAUCGAUUGCCUUGACCUCUUAUCACUAAAAAUAAAAUUUCUCAAUGUGGGAUUUUCGUAUAGUGCUACUGCUUGCUUCUACAAAAAAUAGACUCAAUAAGGAAUCUAUAAAUAUAAACUACAGCUCCUAAAUAUUUUUUUAAAAAUUUUAAUGAUUUUCUAAACUCAAAAUAGGGGUCACCAAAAACUGUUCUAACCCUGUCUCACCAAAAUUCACAUAUCUUAAAAUAUAAAAUUCAUUUUGCUACACCGUUAUUUUUAUCUGAAAAUAGACUCAACAAGAUUUAAAUUCAUAUAUCAUUCACUCUUUAAUUCAUUUUAUACUAUCCUAGGUGAUAUUUCAAAGUCACGUCGUUGUUGCUGCCUGAAUUCUGUUUCUUUGCAAAAUUGUACCAUUUUAUGAUUUCCAUGCAUAGUUUAUCACUUACACUCUUAUAACAACAAACACUUCCAUACUUCACCAUUUUAGCAACCAUUCAUCAUCAACUACUUACAUAUCAUUCUUUAUCAAGAUCAUAAAUACAAACAUUUAAAAUAACUAAAUCCCUAUACAUUCCAUACUCAACAUGGUUCAACAUAAAAAUACCGAGUUGCUGUGGCUGAUAGUGUGGACGAUCUCCGACUUCUUUAGGAUCCUUGAAGUAACCUUGCAAUACUAUAAGAGAAAGAGAAAUAAAAGACGUAAGCAUAAAGCUUAGUAAGUUUACUAGCAAAUAAAUAACAAUAUUUAACUCAGAUAAUUAAACUCAAGUGUCUAUAUCUCUAGUUUACUCUUUAGUUAAUCCCAUUCUAGUUCUCUUGCUUGUUUACUUAGUAUACUUGUGUGCAUAACUUAAUCUUCUCUUGCUGUAUCGUUGAAUAUCAAUUGAUAAUAUAAUAAGUUCUUAACUCUUAUAACUUACCUGAACUUGCCAUUUAUGUUUUUAACUGAACUUUCCUGAACAUGAUUCGUUAUUUAGCCCGUUGAGCUACAUUGGAACAAUAAGGAUACUCGGGUCUCUUCUGAUAAUAACAUGCCAAAGCCAUGUCCCAGACAUGGUCUUACAUGGGAUGUACUCAUGUCGGUGCCCAUUCCAUGUCCCAGACAUGGUCUUACGGGGGACCUCUCAUCUCGGUGCCAAUGUCAUGUCUCAGACAUGGUCUUACAUGGGACCUCUCAUCUCGGUGCCAACACCAUGUCCCAGACAUUGUCUUACAUGGGACCUCUCAUUUCGGUGCCAACGCCAUGUCCCAGACAUGGUCUUACAUGGGACCUCUUUAUCCAAAUGUCAUGACAUUCGUAUCCAGUAUUAUCCUUAUGUAUCAACGGGACUUUUUAAUUUUAAUUCUCUAUCAUUUCAUGCUUGGAUAAUCAUCAAAUAAAUUCAUGAAAUAAAUUCAUAGUUGCUGGAAAAUAGCAGCAUUAAUAAAAAUUAUUGAAAUAUUUCAUUUAUUUACCGUAAACUUACCUUGGUACCGAAUAUAGCCCAAUUCACCAACUUAGUCUUCAACUUUAUUCUUUCCUUUGUCUAACCUCGAGUUUCAUUCUUCUUGAUCUAAAAUAGAAAAUUUAACUUAUUUAAUACUCACAUUCAUCAAAACAGCCCUCGACUCUAACUUUUCAAAAUUAUGAUUUUGCCCCUAAACUUUUACAUAAUUACAUUUUUCCCCAAGGCUCGAAAAUUCAACUUCAUCUCAUAUUCUUAUGUUUUAUGGCAUGCUGAAUAUUUUUCUCUUCUAUGACAAUAUCAAAUUCUCACUCUAACACUUACUUAUGUACAUUAGAGAUUUUUACCGAUUAUGUCAACUUACUCGUUUUUGCUUAAAAUCGGCUAACAAAAGUUGUUUAACAUAAUUUAUAGCUUCAUAUUCUAUCAUAAAACAUCAAAAUAAACACUUUUCACCUAUGGGUAUUUUUCCAAAUAUAAACCCUAGGUUAAAUUAUUGCUAGAAUAAGCUAAAUUAAGUUACCGGGACUCCAAAAACGUAAGGAACAUUAAAAACGGGGCUUGGGAUCACUUACUAUGGAGCUUGGAAGCUUGAAAACCCUAAAUAUGGCUUACCCCCUUGCUGAUUUCGUCCAAAUGAAGAAGAUGAGCAUAAUUUGUCAUCUUUUUCCCUUUUAAUUCAUUUUAAUUACUAGAUUACCAAAUUGCCCCUAACUUAAAAAUUUCCUAUUUCACUUAUCUCAUGUCCAUUUUUGUCUAAAAACUUAACCAAUGGUCUAAUUACCAUAUAAAGACCUCCAAUUUAAAGUUUCAUAACAAUUGGACACCUCUAACAUGUAGAACUCAACUUUUGCACUUUUUGCAAUUUAGUACUUUUGACUAAAUUGAGUGCCCAAACUUCAAAAUUUUCGAAUAAAAUUUUCAUGAAAUCAUUUUGUGAAAUCAUAGACCAUAAAAAUAUAAGAAAAAUAAAAUUUUCCUCAUCGGAUUUGUGAUCCCGAAACCACUGUUCCGAUAAUCUUAAAUUUGGGCCAUUACAUGAUCACCUUUUUACUAGCUCAUACAUCUCCUACAUCAGACCUUACAUGCAUGCUUACCAAACUUUAUUCUUUUUAACAAAACUUUAUACAUAUCAUCGUAGCACAUCUUUCAUCUUUACUAAACUCAUAUUUUUACCAAUUUCUGUAGACAUCAUCAUCAUCAUCCUAUAUAUAUGCUUCUUGUUUGAACAGUUCAUAUCAAAGAGUCAAGAUAGAGACCCACUUGACACUCACCUACUGCAGUUCAAAGCUCUAAACUUAACCAUCCUUCUCAAACCAGCAGUAAAAACUGCUUAUAGAACAUAGAAUCACCAUUAAAAACCCAUUUACAUACAAAUUACUAUCAUCUUAAUCACUUUUCCACUGUUAAUUUAUAAAUAAGUGUUAAGUAGUAAAUAAAUAAAAAAAUUAACUAAGUUUUCAAAAAAAAAGUCACUGUGACGAGAAGAAUGUUAAAAUUAAUUGGUGUUUGUUAACUCAUAUGUUUUUCUAAAAAUGGGUUAAGUUUUCUUCUGAAAUAAACAAAUGUUUUAAAAUGAUUGUUUUAUAAACUCCGAUCGUACUAUCCCAUCUUGGUGGCUGAUGUAAUAUCCCAAAUUCAGGUCUAACAUCUAAGUCGGGUUGGAUAGGUUACAAUAUAUAUAGAAAGAUUGAUAAAUAAUGCAAACUUGAAUACAAGCAAAGAAAGAAAUCAAUCAAUGUGAAUGACUAACAAGUUUAAAAUCAUAUAUUUGCAUUAUAUUUUGUAAAGCACAAGAUUGUCAUGGAAUUAGACAAUUUGUUUUGAUAAUGGUUAUAUUUUAUAUAGAUUUACUUUUAUGCACUUUCAUAUUGAGUUGAUCAAAAGUUUUGAAACUUUAUAGAAAAUUUGAAUGAAAGAGCAUAUUGAUAUAUAUGCUAUCUUGAGUGUUGAAUUAAGCAUUCUUUAGUAAAAGAGUGUACAUUUCGCACAUGGUAGGUGUGUUGGUUUCUUAUAUAUUAAUUAAGCACAAAUUAAAGAAAAAUAAUAUAUAUCACCAUAGUGUUGUAAUAUUUUGUAUAAUUUGUGAAAUUAUACAAGCAAAUAAGUUUACCUAUCUUGUUAAAUAAAACUCAUUAAGUUGGUUCUUAAUCUUGAAGAAUUAAAUAGGUUGGCUUCUUUAUUCAUUUUAUCCAACUACAAGUUAGAUUAAAGUUGUGGAAAUAGAAUGGUUGAAAAUUUGUGUUAAUGAGAAUUAGAGUUAUGGCCACAACUGAUGCCAACUAUUUCCUAAAAACAGGGAAUGAUGUCCAAAAACAUGCUGUAAAAUAAAAAUUUGGACAUGUUAGAAUAUGAAUUUAUUAUAUUAUAGUUUCAAUGUAAUACCCUUAUCCCAUCUCUGUUGCCGGAUUAGGAUUUCAGAGUAUUACUGAGAAAAAUAGAACAUUUAACUUUCCAACAGAAACAAUUGUACAAUUAAAUACCAACAUAUAACAAUUGAAUCUAAUCAUGGCAAAUAUUACACUUUUGGACCUUGAAUCGAGCCUAUGGGGCCCUAGAAACAGUUUAGGAACAAUCUGGGAUCAAAUCAAAACAAAUCAGAACAUUUUGAAAAAACAUAAAAAUUUAGGAAUACAGAGGUCACAGGCCAUAUGGCCAAGUCGUGUGACAUAGCCUAGAUUGUGUAAACAUCCGAAGUCAGGACACAUAGCUGUGUCCCAGCCUGUGUGUCUACUCAUGUGUAUAUUUGAAAUAGGGUCACACAGUCGUGUUGCAGACUGCCAAACGUGUGUGUAUUCAAAGUGAGGUCGCAAGACCAUGUGGCCGACCGUGCCACAAACUGUUUUGAGACACAAGGUCAUGUCUCAGACCGUGUAAAACAUGCACUUAAAAUAAUAAAUACACACGACCGUAUCUAGUGACUAUGUGUGGCACAUGGUCGUGUGGUAGCUUGUGUCUCAGGUCGUGUGCUCCAUUUUUAACCCCUAAAUCAAGCCAAUCAAGCAUCAUUUCUUAUACAACAAGACAUACCAUAUCUAACUAAUUUUACAUGGUUAAAAACACAUUCAAAUCAACAAAUACAUGCCAAAAUUUCGUUCAUCCUAUGUCUAACCAAUAUGCCAUCAAAAGGCACCUCAAUCCAUACAUCCAUUCAACUCAAGAACAAAGUUACAAUAAAUGAACAAGUUUUAUCAUUAGUUAACCAUUCAUGCCUAAAACCACUAAUCUAAUUGACCAAAAUAUGGGCAUACUCAACAAGCAACCAUUUCAAAACAUCAUCAUCAAAUCUUUAUAUACCAUUUAUGAUCAACUUAAUUAUAUUCAACACAAGUACACAUCCAAAAUCAAGCACAUCACUAAGUAUGCCAAAAUAACUUAACUAUUUACAUAUCAACAAUAAGACACCAUAUCCCAAAAUGAAAUAAAAAAGCUACCAAGAUGGUUGGAUAGUGUGUGCUCCAAAACAAUUCAUCCGGUUAGUCCACAAAACGCCAAAUCAACCAAUAUAGAUAAACAAAAAGGUAAGUUCUAAUUCUUGAUAUUCAAAUGCAAGAUCACACCACAUUAGUAUAUAUUUAUUUACAUCAUAAAUGAUACCUUCCAAAAUUCAUAACCAAUUCAUCAUCCACAAUUUCUCAAUACAACCAUUAAUAUUUAUAAACAAGAACUUCAUAGUAACAUUUAUCAUUUAGUAGUAAUAUAAUUAUCCAACAAAAUUGAACAAAUAAAUGCGUUUUAAGUCAUUUGAUACAUAGCCUGCUGAACUAUAGUAACUUGACUCGGAUACUCAUGAUACUACAUCACACCAAAGGUAUCAAUGAUGCAUAACAGAGGCACCGAAGUGCAGACAAAUGCAUGAAUGUGCAAUCAGAGGCACCGAAGUGAAAACAGAUGCACCAAAGUACAAACCCGUACGAGUGCGCAUUAAAACCCUAUUGGCAUGCUAAUCGUAUCCUAAUUGUUUACUACGUUCAACUGGGCAUUAUACUUAAAAUCAUAAUAUCAAUAAAUCCAUCAUUUAGAGGCACUUCUUAUUUCCGUACACAUACUAUAAAUAUGUAACUUUCAUUUCAAUAAUAUGCAAUAACAAUAAUUACCAUCAUCAAACAUUCAUUUUCUAUUUGUACUUAAUUGCAAAAUUUAAUAAUAUAUAAGUAACUCAUGAAAUUUCACAUAUAUACCAUUAACUAGAAAACAAUAAUAUAAUCAUAAAGUGACACACAUAUACAUAUUAUUACACUAUGAACUUACCUAAAAUCUACUUUCGAUUAAUACACAGGGACUACUCCGCUAUUUUUUCCCUUUUCUCGGUUAUUGUCUUUUUGACUCGGUUCUUGAUCUAUAUAGUAAUUAAAUUCAAUUUAUGAAAUUCACAUACAUUUAAAACUCAAUUCAAUGCAUGAUACCCUUAUGUUUUCAUUAUUUUCACAUUUUUCUUAAACUUUUACAUUUCUCACAAUUUAGUCCCUACAAAAUUUAACAAAAUUUUACAAUUUUCCAUGUUAGUUGAACUUCUUUCGAAACUAGUACAAUCCCUAAUUAUUCACAAUUCACAAAAUUUCUAUGCAAAUUUUAAUAAUUCACACAUUGAUCAUUAAACUCAAAAUUAACACAAAUUUUUUUACAAAAAUAUCCUAAUCAACAUUCAAAUAUGUACAACUACCAUUAAAAAUCAUGAACACCAAAAUUCCAUUACUAACCAAUCCCUAAAACUUUAACAUUUUUAUAAUUCCAUCCUCGGGUUUAAUAGUUUAAGUUACAACGAGUUCAAAAACGUAAAAAUUAUUAAAAACAGGUAAGAGAAACACUUACAUGCACCAAUUUGCUAACCGAAACUUCAAGCUCCAAAAAUGGAGUUUUUUUUUUCUUUUUCGGUGGGAGAGAGUUGAGAAGAUGAUGAUACCAUUUUUUUCUUUUGUUUCUUUUCUUUAAUCAAACUAAUUACUAAAUUAUCCUUUUAAUCUAAACUAAAUUAUUAACAUAGCAUGUCCGUAAUUAUCCAUUAACUAACCAUAAGGUUUAUCUAUCAACCAAGUCCAUUACUUUAGUUUUUCUUUAAAAAUCAAGCACAUUUAACAAAUAGAAGCCACUUUAGCAUCUUUUACAAUUUAGACCUUUUUACUAAAUUAACUAAACAGACAUUAAAAUUUCUUAGCCAAAUUUUAUUAUGACUCCAAUAUAACUCUAUAAGCAUAAAAUAAACAUAAAAUACUAACUCAUUUGUCGAAAUUGUGGUCCUGAAACCACCUUUUUUGAUACCACUGAAAAAUGAGAUAUUACAUUAAAUCUCUAAUUUAUGAUAAUGAAUGUGAGAGAAUAAUUUUCUUUGUUUAGAAAUACUAAUCAUUUUCUUUGUUUAGUAAUACUACAACUAGAAUGUGUUUCGACCCUAUUAUUAGAAACUAAUAAUGGAAACCCAACUUUUAAUUAGAAACCUCUAAUUUUAAAGUUUAAUAGGUAACACCCCGAAUUUUGGCCCUAGAAGAAAUAUGUUUUGAACAAGGGAACAGUUAGGAGACUGCACAUAAAUAUUUAGUUGUGCAAGGAAGUGACAUAAAUGAAUGUCUACUUCAGUGGUUGAGUGAUUUAGGAGUGUUUGGAACUGUCUGAGAAGUCAGGGAUUCAAGCAUUGCUUAUGCAAAAUUUUUAUUUUAAGUGAAUAAAAUCAUUGGAUCUAGAUAGUAAGUUCUUAAAUUAUUGUGGUUAAAAUAUGAUGCAAAAGAGUUGUUGGUCUAGUGGUAAGGGGUGUGUGGAGUGCACAUAGGGCCUAAGGUUCGAGUGGUGGCGCAUCAGAAAGGAAAUAUUUAUUUUGCUACUUGAGCUGUUUAGGUAGUGGAGUUGGACUGAAACACAACUAAGGGGAGUUUGCAUAGAAUUUGAAUGGAGUUGUUGGGGGAGUUGAGGAGAAACCGGUAGAAUAAUUUAAGGAGGGAUAAGGGGAGAGAUUUUAGGAGAAAAUCAAGGGAAGUGAGGGGAGUGAAGAAGUGUGCCGAAAGUGGACUUUGAUACUCAGGAAAUUUGGCCAGAAGGGAUACUGCUCAUUUUGGUAUACUUUUCAUUUCGGUUUUGUGUAGUGUUUCUCUCUCUUUUUGCUUUUUGGUGCCGAAUUUUUGCUAAGAUUUCGAGUACCACUCGGGUUUUUCUUUUGCUGCUUUUUUCUUUUAUCAUUUCUUUUGUUUUGGCCGAAUUUCUUUUUAGUUCCCUCCUUUGUCGAAUUCUUUUCUCUCUUCUCUUUGUUGCUUCUUUUCAUUUCUCUAUUUUUCCAAACCUUGACCGAACAGUGUUGAAGUAGUUCUGUGUUCCAUCUUUUGUCUAAAAUGCUCUUCUUCCUCUACUCCUUUUGAUCAACUAUUUGUCGAAUAUUGCCUUCUCUCCCCUUUUAUCUCUUUAAAUUUAUUUUCGGCUUGACAACAAUUCUCUAACAGUUCAAAUUUCUUGAGGAGUGAAAAAGUAUCGCAUAAUAUUAAAGUCAUCGAAACCUUUCUCUCAUCACUCGAUCAAAGGUAAGUAUGUAGGCUAGCAUUCUAAAGUGUAGGCUGAGUGCUUUCUAUGGUUUCAUAAGUUAUUAUGUUUGGAUUUAAACCACAUGAAUAAACAAUCCUAUUUAAUAAAAUCCGUUUGUAAUGCAGAUAUCCAUCAAAGAGAUUGUAGUCAACCUUCGUCAGUGAUAUAAGUAGGCUAAGUCACAUUUGACAAUCGAGGCUUUGGUGCUCGUGGAUCUUAGAGUGUUUUCACAAUCAGGUGUGUAAACACCCCACUGUAACCGUAGAACGACAAAAAGCUAAAAGGCCAAAAAUACGGUGUUUGAGACCACACAGGCGUGCGAUCUCUCAUGUGGUAAGCCCAACCCACAAAUCAUGGCCGAUAGACUGUAGAGGCCUCCAUGAACAUUUCCAUGGGCUUAGGCCGUAAUGGGCCACGUUGGGCCGAAAUGGGUCGUGUGGGUUCAAUAGGCUCGUGGGCACCAUACAGAUGAGAACCACGAUUUGUGAAAAAUACUGGACUGGGCUAUGAAGAUCUCAUAGCCGUGGAAAAAUCUGGGCUGAACAGGCCGCACAAGCGUGCGGGCCUACUUGGGCCGAGUAAUGGGCCUUAGGCCCAUUUGUACCAUUAUGACCAUUUAGGUUACCUGAGUCGCUCGAGGUAACUACGGACCUUUCGAGAGGUCGAUAUCUGCACCAAGACCCAAAAUAGGUAAAAUGAUCGAAAUACCCCUAUAGAGUAAAAUGACCGAAAUACCCCCAAAGGAUAAAAUGAUUGAAAUACCCCUAUAAGGUAAAACGAUCGAAAUACCCCCGUAGGAUAAAAUAACUAUUAUACCCCUAGAAGAUGAAAUGACUGUUAUGGCCUUAUGCUAUGUAUGACUGUUUUGCUCUAUGAUAUGUAUGACUAUGGUUGAGCAUGACAUUUUUCAUACACGUAUGAUAUUAUGUCAUGAUAUAUUGCAUGGGGAUGGAUUGUUAUAUUUGGAGGAAGUGUACUGUACUGACAAGGUUGCACGGGUCGCCCAAGACGACUGUGGACCUACUGAUGGCUAUAUGCCAUUUAUUUUACUGGCAGCUUUGCUGCAAUACUGUUUAAUGCUGCAACUGGUGCUAAUCUUGGUGUGUUUGGAUGGAUGGGUAGAUUUUAUCCCCCAUAUGGUGUGUUUGGCGGAACUGUAACACCCUUAACCUGAAUCCAUUCUGACAUUGUCUCACAAAAUUUAUUAUAUCUCAUAGUUUACAAUUUUAUUACUUACACCAUUUCUUCCAUGAGAAACUAGACUCAAUAAGUUUUAAUUCUAUAUUUUAUUCAUACUCUAAUUCGAUUUUCAUAAUUUAUGGUGAUUUUUCAAAGUGAGCCUACUGUUGUUGUCCAAAACUAUUUUAGUACAAGAUGUUUAUUACCAUGUUUAUAACACCCUUAUUUUCUUUCUCUACACUAUUUCUCAUCCCUUUCUCUUAUUUUCUCUUCACUUACAUAUUAAGAACAUAGGACCAUAUAUACAAAAAAACUUUACACUAACAUCAUUUCCAUACUUUUUCAAUAAUAUCAAACUUAAAAAUAUACUAAAAUCUUGAUGUACUUACCUUGUCAUAUUGAUUUUAAUCUUUAACUUGAUUUUCUCUCUCCUCCAGCUUCUAUUUCUUGAAUCUAACUUGAUAUUAUAGCUCCCCAUAGUCUCCUUGUAAUCUUUCUCUCUUGAUGGAUAUGGAAAUUCUUUUGAUUUCUAGAUGAAAAUAGUGAAUUUUUGGUGAAAGGACUAAAUUGUAAAGAAAGCAAAACUUUCUUUCUUCUCUUCUCCUCUUAACGUGAAUUGCAUGGAAAAGAUGGUGGGUUGGUUCCUUUUCAUCUUUCUUUCCACAUAUAUAUACUAAAUAAUAAAAUAAUAAAAUAUCAUUUAAAAAUCAAAUUAAAAUACUAAUAAACUAAUAUUUAUUUGUUUAUUUAAUCUAAAAUAUCUCCAACAUCAUCAUUAUCUUCUAGAUUUCUCUCUCUUCUAAUUGACCAUUUUGCCCUUCAUGAUAUUUUAAAAUUCCAUCCUUGAGUCAUCACUUAAUUUCGUAAAAUUUCAAUUUAGUCCCUCAAAAUUCCUCACCUUUUUUCAAUUUAGUCCUAAUACAUCCAUUUUCCUUAGUUUCUAGAUCAUUCCACCCUUAAAAUAUUUACACCAUUGGUCCUUCAAUUUUUUCAUAUUUACACUUUAACCCCUCAAUUUUUGAGUAUUUACUCUUGGGCAACAAAAUUUUUACGAUUUAAUCCUUUCUUGAGGUAAUAUGUCAUAAUAUACUUCCCAAUGUUGACAUAACUCCAAAAUUCCCUUUUUUGUCGCUUUAUUUCCUUAUUUUUUUAUAUCAAAGAUAAUAUCUUACUGUAAAAAUUUUUUUGGGGGGUAUUACAUUUCUCUCCCCCUCAAAAUAAAUUUCGUCCUCGAAAUUUCCUUAUUUUCUUUUGAUCAUGAACUUAUUUUUUCUUUAAUUCUAUAGUUCAUUUUUUUUGCAUAUAUUUACUUAGCUUAUCAUUUGUGUCUAUUCUUUAUUCUUUCAUUUCACAAUUUAUUUUUAAUUUAAUAUUUCAAACAUGAAUCAGAGAUAAACUUUUACCUUGUAACUAAAAUUAUUUACCUUUUUACCUGAGGCCCAGUGGACUAAAUAGAACACGUAGGAUAUAUGAAAUUGAUACAGAAGUGCUCUGUUAUACAUCAUUAAACAGAGAGCACUAAAGUGUUAUACGGGAGCAUAAAUGUGCUAAUAAUUGGAGAGCACUAGCGUGCUAUUAAUCAGAGAGUGCGCUAAGGUUCCUUAAUGAUAUACUACUAAUAUCCUAAUAGUUCUAAUCUCAUCUACUUGGGCAAAUUAUAUCAUGCAUGCAUACGACUUUUACACUUUGCGCAUAAUGCUUUUACAUACUUUACAAUUUAAACCUUGUACCAAUGAUUCGUAUAUUUAUACCUUCUCUACCUUUAAUACAUGUAAUAUAUUUCAAAAUUCACUAAUAAUCCAUAUAUAUCAUGUACUUCAUAUAUCAUUUUUACAUAUUAUGCAAUUUAGUCAUCAGCGCAAUAUUUCUUGUAGCAAUAUGUUUUUCUUUUAAUGACACAUAUAACAUUCAUCAUCGACAUGUAUUAUAAAACAUUUAUUCAUACUUUCAUGAGUUCCAAUUCAUCCUAAUCAAUUUUUUUUACUCAUAUACUUGAGUAUCACUUUCAACAUUAUCAGAAUUAGCUCGGUUAGGAAAACAUCUCUGUUUAUAAGUAAAACAAUUCUCAUCAGACUCGAGAGAUAUCACACUAUCACAGGUUACAUAAUGGCAUGCAUUUCUAGACUUCACAUAAGCUACGUUUGGUCCAAGAACCGACUAAAUCGUAGCUCUGAUACCAAUAAAUGUAACACUCUUAACCCGAAUCCAUUCUGACAUUGUCUCACAAAAUUUAUUAUAUCUCAUAGUUUACAAUUCUAUUACUUACACCAUUUCUUCCAUGAGAAACUAGACUCAAUAAGCUUUAAUUCUAUAUUUUAUUCAUACUCUAAUUCGAUUUUCAUAAUUUAUGGUGAUUUUUCAAAGUGAGCCUACUGUUGCUGUCCAAAACUAUUUUAGUACAAGAUGUUUAUUACCAUGUUUAUAACACCCUUAUUUUCUUUCGCUACACUAUUUCUCAUCCCUUUCUCUUAUUUUCUGUUCACUAACGUAUUAAGAACAUAGGACCAUAUAUACAAAAACUUUACAUUAACAUCAUUUCCAUACUUUUUCAAUAAUAUCAAACUUAAAAAUAUACUAAAAUCUUGAUGUACUUACCUUGUCAUAUUGAUUUCAAUCUUUAACUUGAUUUUCUCUCUCCUCCAGCUUCUAUUUCUUGAAUCUAACUUGAUAUUAUAGCUCCCCAUAGUCUCCUUGUAAUCUUUCUCUCUUGAUGGAUAUGGAAAUUCUUUUGAUUUCUAGAUGAAAAUAGUGAAUUUUUGGUGGAAGGACUAAAUUGUAAAGAAAGCAAAACUUUCUUUCUUUUCUCCUCUUAACGUGAAUUGCAUGGAAAAGAUGGUAGGUUGGUUCCUUUUCAUCUUUCUUUCCACAUAUAUAUACUAAAUAAUAAAAUAAUAAAAUAUCAUUUAAAAAUCAAAUUAAAAUACUAAUAAACUAAUAUUUAUUUAUUUAUUUAAUCUAAAAUAUCUCCAACAUCAUCAUUAUCUUCUAGAUUUCUCUCUCUUCUAAUUGACCAUUUUGCCCUUCAUGAUAUUUUAAAAUUCCAUCCUUGAGUCAUCACUUAAUUUCGUAAAAUUGCAAUUUAGUCCCUCAAAAUUCUUCACCUUUUUUCAAUUUAGUCCUAAUACAUCCAUUUUCCUUAGUUUCUAUAUCAUCCCACCCUUAAAGUAUUUACACCAUUGGUCCUUCAACUUUUUCAUAUUUACACUUUAACCCCUCAAUUUUUGAGUAUUUACUCUUGGGCAACAAAAUUUUUACGAUUUAAUCAUUUCUUGAGGUAAUAUGUCAUAAUAUACUUCCCAAUGUUGACAUAACUCCAAAAUUUCCCUUUUUGUCGCUUUAUUUCCUUAUUUUUUUAUAUCAAAGAUAAUAUCUUAGUGUAAAAAAAAAUUUUUUGGGUAUUACAGGAACAGAGUGGUGUGUAGAGGCUGGAUUGGGUAGGAUUUCUAACUGCAUAUCUACACUAAUUAAUGAUUUUGUAUUGUUACUACAUCGAUUAAUGAUAUUACAUACUGUUUACUGCAUGACUGAUAUUUGUUGCUGUUAUGGGCCAAGGCCCCACUGAUACUAUUACUGAAAUUGGGCAAAUGCCCUAUUGAUUAUUGGUAUUGUGAUGGGCUCAAGCCCAAUCGUUUAAUGUUACGGGAAAGGGCUUAGGCCCACACUGAACUGGACUGUUACUAUAACAGGCUCAGGCCCAAACUGUAUUUAUCUAUUGUUUAAUUGACUACUUACUUGUUAGGGGAUUGCACACUGAGUUUUCGUAAACUCAACCCGUUGUUUAACUGUACAGGUAAUCCCUAGUUGUAGUAGGGUCAGUGCUGCGAGGGACUCGAUGAUGGCCACACAACUGCAUCAGCUUUUGUUUUUAGCCUUUGAUUUAUAAGAAACUGAAUUUGGGUAUUUUUAUGUAAAAAGGCCUCUUUAAAGUUAUAAACUUUAAAUUGGGGUUUUUAUUUAUUUAGUUUGAUAUAAACUACUAGUUGUAGAAAAAGACGGGUUUUCAAAAGGUAAAUGUUUUCAAAGUUUCAAAAGGUAAAUGUUUUCAAAGACACCACGUUUUCGCAACAUUUCUAAAAAAAAACUUCCGCAAUGAAUGAGAUUUUGGAAAAUUUAUAACGUUUUAAAAGUGAUUAGCUUUUAAUGAUGCAUGCUUGGAAAUGAACAACCCGUUUUGGAAUCAUAGUUUAACAGCAAAAUGAUUAAUUGAUUUUAAAGAUUUCAACGACAACAAGUUUUACGCUAAACACCUUAAAGUGACACCGCCAGAUUCAACCAUAACUCCUAGGCCGGGUUUGGGGUGUUACAAUGUGUUUCAACCCUAUUAUUAGAAACUGAUACCCUAUUAUUAGAAACUGAUAAUGGAAACACAACUUUUAAUUAGAAACCUCUAAUUUUAAAAUUCAAUAGGUAAAAGCAAGUUAUCGUUAAGUGCCUGUGAUACGCUAGUAAAACUCAUUCUAGAAAAAAAAGUUUAAUGGAAACAAUUGUUAUCCAUUGCGUAUAGAGGAUGAAUUUGAAUACUAUUAAUUAAGUUCAUUGUUUAUUGUUUAAAUGUCUAAAGUAAGGGAGACAUUAAAAGAACUCUACCUUUAUAAACAUAAGAAGUGGUGCCACUUCAACAAGUAAAGGUAGGGUCUCUCUUGUAAAUGUUUAUUAUGAACAAGAUAAGCACAUGAUCAUUUUAGUGCUAAAAGUGAACAACCUCUGAUAGAAAUAUAAACGAAUAUUAUGUAUAGUGUAUUUCAACUUCUAAUACUAGGAGUUGUGGUUCAAUCUUCGGACACCGACAACUUAUUAAAACUUUGAAAAGCAUCCGCUUAUUGAUGGUUCAUAUUGAGAGGUAUCAUCUUUAAUGCAUAAUAUUUGUUUGAGUGAAUGACCAUAAAGUAUGGUACCAACAUUUAAACUAAGGGUGAUUGUUAGUAGUUUAUAAUUUUGGCAGUAAAAAUAUUUUAUUAUGUAGAAAAGUCUAAUAAAUUAUAAUUAUUGGUCAAAUAGUUGUGUUGUAAAGACAAUUUUUGUAUGUAAAGUUGUCUUAUAAACUUUAUGUAAAGUUGUGUUGUAAAACAACAAAAUUAUAUGAAAAUGUAUCUUAUUAAAAGAUACAUCCAUAUGAAAGGGUAUCUCAUGAAAAGAUACACCUAUUAGAUGUCUAUAUAAAAGAUUUUUCUGUUAGUUAUUUAAAUUGUUUUGCUUGGAGUGUUGAGGGCUUUGUUGUAUCUUGAAGGUAUUUUAAAAUCUUAAAGAAAGUGCUCUACACACCUUAAAGUCAUUAUAUUUUAUAACAUUAUUUUAUUUUUCUAACUUUUAUUUUCCUAUUAUUUAUUUUUCUAACAGCUAGAAUAUAGGAAAAUUAUUAUGUUUCUAGCUAUAUAUUGAAUACAAGUAUGUUGGUGUUUAGAACUCGAACUUUGAUGGUUGAUCGAGAGAUUUGAAGCAGAAAGAAGAGACGGGAAGUUUUAAGUAGAAAAAUAAUUGAAGACUGGAAUAUAUAAUUGAUUUGCACCUCAACUAUUUAAAUACAAAAGUUCAAGCUAAAAAUAGAAAAAAAAAGUUCUAAAAAUCUGCUAAAAAUCUGGUAACAAAAUAGCAAACAAAUCAAAAAUCUAAUCUCCUAAAGUCAAGGAGAAUUAUUCAAACUUAGUAACAGAAAAAAUUUAAAUGGCAGCAAUCUUAAACACAUGAUCUUAACACUCCUCCUUGUUUAGAUGCUACAAACUCCAAGUUUCUUCCUGAAGCUUUCAAACUUGCUAAGUGGCAAUGGUUUGGUGAAGAUAUCUGCAAUUUGAUCUUCAGAUUUGUAGUAACAAAGAGACACAUCACCACUCUUUUAAACUUCUCGAACAAAAAAUAACUUGAUGUUAAAAUGCUUAGUCUUCCCAUGAAAGACUGGAUUGUUAGAGAUUGCAAUGGCAGCCUGGUUAUCAACUAGAAUCUUUGUGCUUUGCUUCUACUCCAUGUUUAGAUCAACAAGAAUCUUCCUUAACCAGAGAGCUUGGUUAACUGUUGCUGUUGCAGCCAUAAAUUCUGCCUCAACAGUGGAUUGAGCUACAGUUUCUUGCUUCUUCGAGCUCCAAGAGAACAUGCCUGAUCCAAGGCAAAAACAAUAACCAGAGGUACUCUUCAUAUCAUCAGUUAAGCCACCCCAAUCACUGUUAGAGAAACCAAUCAACUUCAAUUCCCUAUGCUUUAAAAACUUUACUCCAUAAUUCCAGGUCCCCUUGAUGUAUCUGAUAACUCUUUUUGCAGCUCUCAUGUGAGUCUCAUUGGGACAAUGCAUGAAUCUGGAGAGAAUACUUACAGCAUUCAAGAUGUCGAGUCUGGUUGUUGUUAAGUACAUUAGACAACCUACCAAACUCCUGAACUCAGCUUCAAUGACUUUGGCAGAACCAUCAUCUUUGAUUAGCUUCUCUUUUUGAUUCAUAGGAGUACUCAUUGCUUUGCAAUCUUCCAUAUGGAAUUUUCUAAGUAUCUCCUUUGCAUACUUUCUUUGACAGAUGAACACUUCAUCUUGGCUUUAUUUGAUCUCAAUGCCAAGGAAAUAAGACAUCAGAUCAAGGUCUGUCAUUUCGAAGACAUUAUGCAUUUCCAAUUUAAACUGAUUAACUUGAUCGAUAUUGCUCCUUGUAAUCAAUAAGUACAAAUAAGCAAGCUUUUUCCUUUGAUUUCCUUAUCUUCUUUUCUUUUUGUGCUUUAAUCUGUGCCACAGUAGGAUUUGCUGGAAGAGGUGGGACCUCGUAAUCCUCUUCUACAGGUUCCCAAAGAUCCAAAGCCUCUAUGUAAGUCUCCAUGCGAACUGCCUACAUCUGGUAAUUGUCUCCAUCGAAGACUGGUGGUGCAGCAACUGAAAAACUGGACCCUCCUUCCAUAUUAACACGCAAAUAACCUAACAAAUCCCUCAAGAAAAUAGCUCUGAUACCAAUUUGUUGGUGUUUAGAACUCGAACUUUGAUGGUUGAUCGAGAGAUUUGAAGCAGAAAGAAGAGACGGGAAGUUUUAAGUAGAAAAAUAAUUGAAGACUGGAAUAUAUAAUUGAUUUGCACCUCAACUAUUUAAAUACAAAAGUUCAAGCUAAAAAUAGAAAAAAAAUGUUUUAAAAAUCUGCUAAAAAUCUGGUAACAAAAUAGCAAACAAAUAAAAAAUCUAAUCUCCUAAAAUCAAGAAGAAUUAUUCAAACUUAGUAACAGAAAAAAUUUAAAUGGCAGCAAUCUUAAACCCAUGAUCUUAACAAAGUACUACUUGGAAGCCAACACCCACAAACAUGAUAAAAGUUAAUUUUGAUGAGAGUUUUGACAUGGAAGCAAGAAAUGAGGAAGAGGGUAGUUAUGCAGCAUUGUGAUGAUUUUUUAGUCUGACUAUGCAACCAUCCAAUUUAGGGUGCAUUCUCCAUUGUGGUGAAAAAGCACUUAAAGAACAUUUGGUUUUUGCACUUAAAAUGUGAUGGAAAAAUGUUUUUCCACCCAAAUACAAAAACUAGGAUAUAAAUGUUUUUGACUUUUAGCUUUUAUGUUUGGAAGUGAAAAUUAUCAAAAUAUCAUUAUUUAUAUUAACUAUUUAAAUGGUAUAUAAAAAUUAGAUUAAUUUAUAUUUUAUAUAUCAUUAUAUUAAAUUAUUUAAAUAUUAUUUAUUAUUAUAUAUUUUAAUAAUUUAUAUAUCAUCUAUUUUACAAAUAAUUUAUAUUAAUUACUUAAAAAAUAUUUGGAACUUAUAUUUCAUGUAUCAUUAUAUUAAAUUAUUUAAAUAUCACAUAAUUUAACUAAUUUUUUACUUUCCACUAUCAUGUCUAAAGAAAAGGAUAUUUUAACUUUUAACAAGAAUUUUUUGUAGCAAUGGAGAACACCAAAAAUUAAUAAACACACUUUUUCAUAGUAAUUUUCAACCACACUUUUCAACCGCAACCCUAAUGAAGAAUUAAUCCUUACUAAAGUUACCGAAGCACUAGCUUCCACCGUAGCCAUUGAAAUGGCGCUCCAAUUGGGAUUGCAACACAUUAUUAUUAAAGGAGAUGCUCUCCAAGUGGUUUCGGAGUUGAAGGAAGACAAAGGAGACCUACCAACAACCGGACCUUGAUAGCAAAGAGUUGAAUACUUGCUAAACAGGUUCAGCAAUGUAGGUUUCAACACAGGAAGAGGCAUGCUAAUGAGGUGGCACAUCAUCUGACCAAACAGGGCCUUAAUUGUUUUCCAUCUUUUGUUCAUAUGUUUGUUUUGAAAAGGUAAAACAAAUCCUCACCUAUUGAUGUUAGAACGGUUGAAUUGCUAAAAGCAUGCUGCAUGCAUAACCAUGCUUUAGGUUAGGCUUCAAAUUAAAUAAAUUUUAAAUUAUUUUUAUUUAAAUUUAAUUAUAAAAAUAAAUUAAUAUCAAUAGAAAAUUAUAUAAAAUUUUAAGAUAUUUUAUUUUUCAAUAAUAAAACGAAUCAUUCACCAAACCUAAUUCUUCAAUUUCUUUUUAAUUAGAUCACAACUCAAGCCAAGCUAACCAAUAAACACCCAAAAUCUACCAUCAUUUUCAUUUUCAUUUUUUUUUCUUUUGUGACAAAGUAGACAGAAGAUUCGGUUUGGAUAAGCUCUACGUUAUUAAGUCAAAAGCUGAAGUAAUUUUAAUCAUAAAUUGUUUUAUUUGUCUAUAAUGCAAAACAAUGACCCAGUUAGUACAAUAAAGCUUUAACUUUGUGGAACAUUUCAGUCCAAAAAAAAAAAAAAAAAGAAUUGUGGAAAUUUUAGAGCAGUUGACCAUUUCUUCGGAAUUAGUUUUCUCACUUCUUGUCCAUAUUCCAUGUAUAUUAUUUCAAGAAAUUAGGUUUAGAAAUUUGCAUAAUUCAACCAUUGAACUAAUAAAUAUUAAACAAAAAUUGGGUGGCAAAAAAAAUCUUAUUAAAAUCAUAUACUAUUACUAAAAUUUAUGAUUAAAUUAGUGUCACGAGUUAACGGGACAUUAACAAAUUAUAUUAUUUGAGGGUAUUUUAAUCUUUUUAUUAAAAAAGAUGAUGUCUCAAAUUAACUCACAAUCUAAUCUAAUUUUUCAUUUUAAUAUUGUAAAUAUUUCAUGUUUUAUUAUUAAUUUGUUUCAAAUUAUACAUUUCAUUAUUUAUUUUAUGUUAUUUUUAAACACAUCUGUAUUCUAAGUACCUAAUUUUCACUUAUGGGUAUCAGAGGCGAAUCUAGGGAGGCUGAUAGGGGUCUCGGUCCCCUUAAAAUAGAAAAUUAUUAUUUAAGCCAUUUAGAAAAUUUUAAAAUUUUAAAUUAGUAAAUGUAAAAUUACACUUUGACCCCUCUAAAAUUAUAAAAAUUUGAUUUAAUCCUUUAAAAAUUAUAAAGAUAUAAACUAUUAAAAAUAAAAAUUUCAUUUCGGCCCUGCCUAAAAAAUUUUUUUGACUUCACCCCUAAAGUAUGAUAGAGUUUCUAGUAUGAAUAAUUUUCUUUGGAAGUGUUAAACAAACAAAGGAGUUAAGUAAACAGUAGUUUUCAUACAGAAAUAUUCGGCGUUGAUGUUUCCCUUUCGAAUAAUUAAAUUAAGACUUAGGAAAAGGGAAAACAAUGAAAAAGAAACUAAAAUUGAGCUUAAUUUAUGGAGUUGGGUUAAAAUUUUAAUAUUUAAAUAUAAAAAUUCUAAUAAUUUGAUCUGGUCCGUUUCAUCUAGCAGACUAAUAAUAAAUCUUAAAACAUAUUAUAUUUUAAUUUAAAUAAAACCAAAACUAAUACACUUGACCUACAUCUACAUGUGAUCUAUGCUUCAUUUAAAUUAGUCUAAAUUAGACGAGAUCUUGAUUAGGAGUCAUUUAUUUAUAUUAUAAGUCCCUGAAACAUGCAAAACUUACAUUUAAAAAUUAAUAUUUUUACGUUGUUGUUAGAAUAUAGGGUUUGUUAAUGUUUUCGUGUGAAGUCAGCUGUUGACAUUACCAAUCAGAUAAUGAAAAGGAAACAUGGCAAUUAUUCCAUCCUAAUUGUCACCAAAUUAAGUUAAUCCAAAAAUUACCAAACGUUUAGUACUUCAAUGGUAGAGUCAGCUCUUUCUUCUAGUCUAUCAAAAAAAGUCAAUUUAACCCCUAACUCUUGGAUGGAAAAGUUUUUGCUAUGAACUUGUUGAAGUGAAUCUCAUGUGAUAUAAACGCAUCGCAAUCUCCGUGUGUAACUAAAAAUAUUUGAGAGAUUGAAUAAUUUAAAGGGGAAAAAAAAAGAAUUUACUCCCUCCACUAACAAAUUACUCUUGCCAACGUAUGUAUGAAAGUAAACACCUUUAAUUAAUCAACAAAUGCUAAAGUUCGAGGUUUAGAAUUAAUUAAAUACCAAUAUAAAUAGUUAAUUACUUUUUUGAAAUAAGGAUAAAUCAGUUUGUGAGGUUUGAAUUUUUUGUAUCUUAACAAUUGUUCUGACUUUAGAGUUUGAAGGUUUUUUUUUUAUCCAAAUUAACCUAUGAACUUAGUAAUUUGUCUCUCAUUAAGGUUUAAAUUUUUUAUUUAUCUAAGUUAAUUCUUAAAAAUCUUGAAAUUCGAGAAUAAUUGUCAAGUUAAAAAAAUUUAGAUUUCAAUAUGAGAAUAAUCUACUAGUUCGUAACCUUAAUAUAAAAACAAUUGUUAAGUUGAAAACUUAAUUUAAAAACAAAUUCAAACCCUUCUUAAGUUUACGAUUUAACCCUUUGAAAUAUUGCGUUAACUAGUAAGAGUAAGAAUUAUUUUGUGUUGAUGAUUAAAUAAAUAUUUAAGUGGAGAUCAAGUUUUACCUCAUUUGUCAAUUGUCAGGUGAAGAAUAUAUACCCCUAAAGGCCUAUCAAAAACGGACCUAUCUCUAUCUAUAUAUCUUAACUAAUUUACUAUUCAUUUUUAAUGAAAAUCAAUAAAUCAAUGAAAACGUUAUAAAAAGAAAACUACGUGAAUAAAUUAUAUGUGUAAAAUUGAAAUAUUUCUUAUUUUAGUACAAUGGUAAGGAACAUUACAUUUUUAAGGAAAUGAUGUCAGGUUCAAACCUUAAAGAUAAUAUUCUUCUUCUUGAGAAGAACAAUCCCAAACUCCAAAAUGAACCCUUAUGAAUUAUAUAAAAAAAUUUUGAAAUAUUUCUAUAAAAUAUCAUUAAAGUUUUUUAUUUAAAAAAUGUUAUGGGUAUACUUUUACCUCUUGUAAAAAAGUCUUUCAUUUCUCAAUUCUUAUGGCAUAGUAAAUUUAUCAUUAAUUUUCAUCUUUAGGUAAAAAAAAUGGUUAUUAUUUGUGUAUUAAAUAAUUGUUAGGAUAAAUUUUAAAAUUGUAUAUGAAUUUUGGUUUAAUGUUAAUUAUAUACAUUAAUUUUAAUUUUAUGUAAUUUUAUAAAUGAAAUUUUAAUUUGAUCCAAUUCUAACAAAUUAUUAACACAGUUAUUGAUAUAACAUCAUUUUAUGUUUAUAUGCUAUAUACAGAAAUAAUUAUGUUUAUUCAAUAUAAAAAUAAAUUGAUGUAUUUAUUUCUUUAAACAUAUAUGAUUGAAUCAAAAUUAAAACAUCGUGUAUAUAUUUGAACCACAAUUAAAAUUUUACAUAUAAAAUUACAUAAAAUUACAAUUUAUAUACGUAAUAAACUAAAAUUCAUAUAUAAUUUUAAGAUUUAUGUCCACAAUUCUCUAAAGCUAAACGGUGAUGAUUACCAUGGAAAUUCAAUGUACUUAACUAAUUGGUUGAUAGGAACAGGCAUGAUGAAAUCCAUGAUGGGAAGAGAGAGAAUUCAAAAACUGGAAUGCCCCCAUUAAUCCAUGCAAAUAAACUUUUUCGGUAUUACAUCAUAAUUCAUUUAAUUUUAUCAUCAUCUCUAUGCCAUAACCAUGUUUAAAGUAAAAUACUUAUAUAAAUUGAGACAUUAAUAGUUUGUAUUAUAUAAAUUAUGACAUCCAUAUAUCCAUAUUAUAAUUUUUAUGAAAAAUUAGAGCUGGCAGAUAAAAAAUGGCUUACUGAUCAAUGAAAAAUAAACUUUAUUUCUUGUAAAUUGACUUAUCCUUUUAAAAAGUAUAAAUAUUUUUUUAAAAUUCAUUUAUGAGUAAUUUUAUUAUUAUAAAAAUUAAUUUUGCAAAGUCUAAUAUUAUUAUAUUAAUAAUUUUAUUUUAAAACUAUUUAAAAAUACUAAUAUCAAAUAUUAUAAUGUUGAAUCCUAGUAACAUACAUAUUAAAUUAUUUAAAUUAUGUAAUAUUGCAAUUUUAUUUUAAUACUAAAUUUUAACAACAAUAAUUUUAAAUUUUAGAUCAUAUUUUUAAUAUAUUAUUGAAAAAUAUUUAUAUUAAUAUUUUAAUAAUAAAUAUAUAUAUUAAAAUUUAUAAAUAUUUAAUAAUAAAUGUUUUAUAGUAUAAAAUAUGAAUAUUUUAAUUAUAUAGAUAUGAGCAUUUGUUUAAAUCAUGUUUAGUUUCAUUUAUCUCCCAACUAUAAUGUGUUAUUAUACACCGUCAUAUAUAUAAUAUAUGUAAUUUAAGCAUUGUUUAUUAUUAAAUUUAUAUAUGAUAUUAAUUAUUAUAAAAUAUUAUCUUAUUAUAAAAGAAAUUCUAAUUAUCAAAAAGAAAUGUUACUUUAAUAUUUUGUAACAAGUAUAUUUAUGUUGGGCUUGUUUCAAUAAUAACUUUAAAAUGAUUUUAGAAAAAAAAUUGUCAAAUAAUAAAAAAAUAUUUUAAGCAAAAUAAUUCAAACACAAAAAACUAUCAACUUUUCCAUAAAAUCAAUCCAAUUUUAAGAAAACAUUUUGUGAAAAUUGUUUUAGGUAAAACAAAAGGAACCUAUAUUUUAUAUAGUAUUUGAAAAGUUGUUGUAUCUAGAAUUAUUAUCUUAAAUAUUUUUUUAGGUCUAAUUUUAAAUUUCAUCCCUUUAUGAAAAUUGAGAAGUUAAAUUUUCUAUUUUACUUUAUCAGUCUGUGCUUGAUUGUUUAUUAAUUUGUCGUGUAUAAAUGGUUAAAUUAUUGAUUUUUGUUAAUUACUAGCAUGUAAAUUGUCAAACUACUUGUUCUCAAGGGAACGGUAAAGUUUAAUAGUAUUAUCAAUUUAGAACAAUUUUUGAGUUUUUUCUUUUAUUUUUCAUGUUCGAGUCCAUAAUUACUCCUUCUAAUAAUGUCGUCUUUAAAGUUUGAGUUCGAAUUCAAAUUCUCUUUUUGGAAGUACAAUAUGCCUUAUAAUUAUACCUAAUACUUUUGAUUUUUGUAAAAUAUAAGAAUCAAAAUUGUGUAGUAGGAUUAAUUUCUAGAUUUUUUAAAUUUAAAAUUUAUAAUAUUAUCAAUCGCAUCACACACAAAACCAAAGAACAAGAGAAUCUAAAAAACACGUGGACCAUUAAUUUAGGAAUGGACAUUAUAUUUUAUUAGUGGAAUAAACUCAUGCAAAAUGGUUGGAAAACACAUACAGGAUUAUAUAUACUAAUCAUUUUUAUUAUUAAGCAGAAUCGGAAAUAAAUAAAUACGAGCGAAACCACUGAAUAAUACAGCAUUGAAAUGCAAUUUGUCUACAUCAUUAUUGUUCUUCACUUCAAACGCGGAGACUAGUCUAGGCUCCCAAUCUUUUGCUUUAUCUCUCUAGAUAUAUCCUUUUCAAACUAUCUUUUUGUAGCUUUAUUUGCAUCACAGCAUUAUCUUUUCCUGCAAACAACUGUUCAAUGAUUAAAACAUGCAAAACAUUCUGAAAUAAUGCACCCUUACCAGAUGACAAAAAAAAAAAAAGAUUCUAAUGUAUCUUACCUUGGAUUGGAGCACGGUCAAAGCCGUGGCUUAGUAGUGGUGAGGAGGAGGGGGUGAAGCGUAGACAUAAUGGGGUGGUGGUGGUGGAGGAGACUUGUAUUUGUAAACUGGAGGAGGAGGUGGUGGAGACUUGUACUUGUAAGGGUGCUUGGGGGGUGAUGGUGGGGGUGGUGGGGGUGACUUGUACUUGUAGGGGUGCUUGGGUGGUGACGGUGGGGGUGGGGACUUGUACUUGUAAGGAUGCUUGGGGGGUGAUGGUGGUGGUGGUGGAGGUGACUUGUACUUGUAGGGGUGCUUGGGUGGUGACGGUGGGGGUGGGGACUUGUACUUGUAAGGGUGCUUGGGUGGUGACGGUGGUGGUGGUGGGGGGGACUUGUACUUGUAGGGAUGCUUUGGUGGGGAUGGUGGUGGUGGUGGUGGGGACUUGUACUUGUAGGGAUGCUUAGGUGGUGAUGGUGGUGGUGGUGGAGACUUGUAUUUGUAAGGAUGCUUUGGUGGUGAUGGUGGUGGAGGUGGUGGGGACUUGUACUUGUAAGGGUGCUUGGGUGGUGAUGGAGGUGGAGGUGGUGGAGACUUAUACUUGUAAACUGGAGGUGGUGGGGGUGGAGACUUGUACUUGUAAGGGUGCUUGGGUGGUGACGGAGGUGGAGGUGGUGGAGACUUAUACUUGUAAACUGGAGGUGGUGGGGGUGGAGACUUGUACUUGUAAGGGUGCUUGGGUGGUGAUGGUGGGGGUGGGGGUGGCGACUUGUACUUGUAGGGGUGUUUAGGUGGUGAUGGUGGUGGUGGUGGUGGUGGUGGGGACUUGUACUUGUAAGGAUGCUUGGGUGGUGAUGGUGGUGGAGGAGACUUGUACUUGUAAGGAUGCUUGGGUGGUGAUGGUGGUGGAGGUGGUGGAGACUUAUACUUGUAAACAGGAGUUGGUGGGGGAGGAGAUUUGUACUUGUAAGGUUUCUUGUGUG
Molecule: long non-coding RNA, 56173 nt
Filed under: Gossypium barbadense (sea-island cotton)
Lineage: Eukaryota; Viridiplantae; Streptophyta; Magnoliopsida; Malvales; Malvaceae
Description: long non-coding RNA (GBAR_LNC014012)
Source: RNAcentral